GAGUAGGUCCUAAAAGAGGAUCGUGUCAGACCUCUUAUUUCCUAACGUUUGUGAAUGCAAAGGACAAGAGACAAGGAAAGUUAGUUCAACACAUAACACGUUGGACAAUUAAAAAGCAACAAAGAUAGAUAAGGAAAAAGGGGUAGGACCCCUCCCCUCGUGAAUAGUGUUUCCUAAUUUAGGGUAAGGUUGACUCUACCCUAGGCAAUUCUAAUAUGGAUGCGUGAGGUUGGGGUUCACUAAUGCAUCUAGACUCGACAAGCUCAGGUCCCCGAGCCUUCAGACUUGGAAACCAAGGGUCAUCACUCCCAAGGUUCCUUGUCGGUGGCUCGAGCGAUUCCCCAGACGUUGCUACGCACACGUCGUGUCAUGGCUACACGUCUGGACGAAUCUAAAAAGAAUCCUCAACCUUCGACUAAAAACUAAUAGGUUAUUAACCUAAAGUUUAAAGCGAAAGAUCGAGUGACCCCUCGGAUCAUGCUACGCACACUUCAUGUCACGAUCACACAUCCAAGUGGGUCGCCUAAUAAUCCUAAUAGGGUGGAGUGGCGUGACAAGCCACUAAAAGAAAAAUAAAUGAAGGGUGAAAAAAUUAAGGCGUAUACUCGUAUGCUAGUGCUCGUUUGGAGGGGAGGGAUCGAGAACCAACGCGAGACUCUAGGGUAACACACCCCCCCAAAUGCAAUGCAAAGCGCGAGAUAAAACAAGUAAAACAUACAUCCAAGCAAUCAAUCAUACAUACGUGAGUAAGGGAGUAGUUCGAUAUGCGCGCGAGGCAAAAGGUCCUAAAAUGCAAAAUGCAACCCUAAUAUCCAAAUGCUACGCAUAACAAGGGUAGAAAACGGAAAAGAAUGGCUAAAUCAAAUGCUUGGACCCACUUAGGAGUUCCCCAGUGAAGUCGCCAAGUUGUCGCGCCCCACUUUUUAUAUUGGUGUGUGUAGUGUGUAAGAUAUGUAUGUGAACGUGUGUGAAAGUGAAAAGAAAAGGCCGAGUGAUUGUGAAAUGCGACGGUUUGGUCAAAUAAACUUCAAAAAGGUUUUUUGAAUAGAAAAACGGAGUCGCCACUUGGUAUAGAGUUAAGGUGUACCAAGUCACCCAAAAAUGAUUUUAGUUUUUUUUGAACAAAAAAAGUAAAUAAACCCUUUUAAAAACUUUUAGGUCUACGUAACCAAAGAAAGGGAUCGGGGGGAGAAGGCAAAGUCAGAGCCUAAGGCACUCCCUUACCCUAGCAAGAGCCAGUUGCGUGACUUAGCCCCACUUUUCCUAAUUCUUCUACCCAAGGUAUGUAUCGCAUGUUGGAUAUGACUAAUGGAUGCGAAAAAGAAAGAAAAAAUGCAAUUCUAAAUCUAAAAUGUCUCCUAUGAGGCUUUUUGGUCCCAACCACAUGAAUUGUGGUGGCCAAUAAGGAAAGCUCUCAUAGAAGUCCUAGUUAAUGCAAAUGAGGAUUCAAGUGUAAGUGUGCAAGCGUGAGAAAAUAAAAGUGUUUGUGUGCAAAUGAAUGAAAAUAUGAUAGUAGAUAUAUAUAAGUGCAAUCUGAGUGCCAUUUGUGGGGUAGAAAAUAAAUGAGGGAUAGGAAAAAGGUGGUGAGAAAGUGUGAAUUGAGAAAAUGUGGUUAAAAGAGUGAGGAAGUGAUAUGAUAAAAAUGAAAGUGUAUGACCCUAAAGGAAUGCAUCAAAUCGAGCACGGGAUGCACUCCUAACUUUACGACUUUGAUUUUCCCUUGGAUUAGAAGGAAGAACUAGCGUGCUAAGGCUAUUUUGUAGCCAAACUCGCUCGUUUCCCUUAUCGAAAGGGGACUCUCAAGCAAAUGUACCCUAUAACUAGCAUGAAGAUGCAAAAGCCUAGAAUGAAGGGGAAAGGAUUGGAGAAGCAUGCUAAAUGAUAGAAAAACUAAGAAAAAUGCAUGAAAUGUAGUGAACAUGCAAGUAUGUACUAACGAAAGGGGGACGGCCUAUUGGGUCUAGCGUUGGACUAGCCCUUUCUAUGAAUUCCUACUAGCGUUGGACUAGUGGAAAUGGACAAUGAGCCACAACUAGCGUUGGACUAGUGUGGUGAUGUACAUUCAUCCACCACAUUCAUCUACGACUAUAGAAAACAAGUAGACAUGCCAAACACUCAUAAACAUGUAGCACGUAACACUUAGCAUGCUCGACUAAAUGCAAAGGCCUAAUAAAGCAAAUAACACAUAACACAUAAGCAUGCAACCAAGCUAAUGAGCCUAUUACAUUUGCUAAUUAAAACAAAAGGAGAAGGGGAAAAUGGACAAAAUUGCUCUCCAAGCCCUAUCUAUUACAAGCCAAGAGGUGUACACAUACCCCAUAAAAGAAUAACUUAAUAAAAGCAAAAGUAAGUGAAAUAAAUGAAAGGAAUUAAGGAAAAGUAAGGAAAACAAUGUAGACAUGCAAUUCUCACUCAACACGUUGAAUCACAUAGGGCAGAGACAAAAAAGAUAAAAGAAAUUAUACCUCCCUUGAGUUGAUGCCUUAAAUGGAGUGAAAUCACUUAUUUAUCCUCCAAAAUAAAAGAAAUGAUCAAGGUACCAAUUUAUUUGGAAAAAUUAAAGAAAAUGUGCAAAACAAAUCUCACUUGAUCAUGAAGCCCCUAAAGUCAUGACUUAAGUGCAAUUGAAACAAAGCAUAGUAAUUACAUGAAGCAAACAAACAAUAAGGUUGUAAAAUUAAGGCUGCCAAGGACCAAAUUGAGGACAUUAUUCAAUUGGUUGGGUCAUAGUGGAAUGAAGGGAGACUUGGGGGGUCAAAAUGCAAAGUUCAGAAAUGUCUCAUGCAUGUUCAUGCAACACACGCAGAAUCUUUUCUCAUUUCAAAUUUCCUUCCCUUUGCAACAUGCAGCGUCCCAUUUCCAACCGAAGCACAUUAUCAACGAACAAUCACUUUCGAAUCAAAACAACCGUGAGAUCCCACUCCCCUAAACAUCAACCAAACCCAAAGACAGCAGAAUCUGGAAUAUAAGUAAACAGCAAAGAGAAGAAAGCACUUUGGCCAGAAUUUUCUGCAAAUUUCUGCUGCAAAGUUCCUACGCCUUUCAGCUCAUUCAUCAGGCAGAAUUAUCGCUCAACAAACGAUAGAGAGGAAAGUGACUACGGUCUGUGAUUUCAUAAAACUCAAUCCUCUUAACAGGAACAUCAACUACCUUCAACUCCAGUAGAUUAAAUUCCAAUAUACGAAUGCACAAGACAGAAGAGAGCCAAGCCACGGAAAAAGGAAAAAACAGCAACUCACGCAACUUUACCAGUCCUAAGCAUUCAACUUUGAUCAAAACUUUCCAAGCAAAGAUCAUAACUUUACACUAAGCCACAAAACACAUAACAAACUUCAAAGGAAAUUAUCUAAGUUCCGGAAAACUCUCAUGCAAAAUGGUUCCAAAACCUUCUUGUUCACAAAAAUGCCUUAGACAAUUCUGAUUGCAGCAAAGACUCUUCAUUUUCGUGCAUAGGCUUUAGCCUCAAUCACAAAUCUUUAGCACCAUUUAACCAACAUCACAAGAACCAACAUCAAAAGCUUUUAGAUUUCUAGCAAGAAAAUAACUUCCAAUACUUCAACAUACAAAAAUCCAUUCCAGAAAUUCCGUACUUUUUCAGCAACUUUAUCGUCAAAACAGCCAUGAAGGAAUAGAAUACAAGACAAGACGUGCAUGAUCAAAACACUCAAACAAAUCUAUUUUUCCGACAAGCAACCUCUAAAUCUUCAAUCCCAACUUCCAGAAAGCAAACCCAGAACAUCAAAACAAGAUAAACCCAUCAUAUCAAAACAUGUCAAACCUGCAACUUCCUACCGUGAACUUGCGGACCAGAUUAAGGAUUAUGAAAAUCUAAUGAAAAAAGAAAGAAUAUACAAUCUGCUGGGCUUGCUUGGAGAUAUGAAACAAAAGGGAUUACCUUUAGCACCUUAGGAAGUUCCGUGCGCAAAGAAGAAUCGAAGAGAGGGCGUAUAGACGUCGACUUCAACAAGACAGACUUUGGGUGAAGAGAUUUCUGGAAUACCGUAUGAAGUGGAAACAAACGCUUCUUCUUGUUCGACCACCGCCUCCUUUUCCUUUCUUCCCCUUGCAGCCUUUCCCAGUUUCUUCAGCUAUCCAUCCGUUAUUCUUUCUUUCCUACUUGAACUCUCCCUUUUUCUUUCUACUCUCCUUGCUGAUUGUCCUCUCUCAAAAAUCUCUCCGCUGUCACCAACCUUUUUCUUUCGGCCAUCCCCAAAACCUCUAUCUCUCUCCGCCUCCUUGGUUUCUCUCUAUUGCUCUCGGUUCUUUCCCAGCCGUCACUCUUUUUUUUUCCGAUCUACUGUUUUCUUUUUUCUAUGCCGCCGAACGCCACCCCCCGAUCCACUGUCUCUCUCCCUCUCUCUUUCUUAUCUCUAUCCGCCGCCCCCCUCUUGCUCUCAUCAUUUUCUUUUUAUAUGGGAGAAAAAUCAACCCUAAACCCUUAACCAUCCUUUCUAUAUUUGCAGCCAAGGGCUGCCCGAACCUUUCUUUGCAAGCUGCGAAAAAACGCAGCUUGCUGUUGCGUAUUCCCCCUUUUUUUUUUAGAUUAAUUAAAACAAAUUUGAUAAUAAAAAUAAAUAACAAAAAUAAUUUAAUUAACAUUGGAUAAAAAUAAAUAAACUAGAAACAACAAAGUGCAAACUCCAUUUUCUUUUCUUUUUUCUUUUCCUUUUUCAUCGUUUUUCUUCUUUUCCUUUUUUUUCAAAAUAACUUAACAAAAAUAAAUAAAAAUGCCAAAAGAUUGAAUUAAAAAAAUAAAAUAAAUAAACAUAUUUUGUGAACAAUUUGUCUUUUUUUCUUUCUUUCUUUUUCUUUUCUUCUUUUUCUUUCUUUUUCUUUUUGAAUUAGUAGAUAAAAUAAAUGUUCGUAAACUAAUUAAAAUAAGAGACACGAAAUAGGAAUUAACUAAAAUAAACCUAAAAUUGAAACAAAUAAAUCUCAAAUUAAACUAAUUAAAUAAAUAAAAUUCAAAACCAAAAUUUUGGUGUCUACAAGAGUGUGAAAAUUUGAAAAAUUCCUUAUAUUUUUCUUAAAAAUUUCCUUUAAUUUGGAAUUUAUUACUUUACAGUAGCUUUACUACACAUUCACUUUCCCAAUAGUUACAAAUAAUCAUACAAAUAAGGAUUUCCUUUUUACUUUCAUCGUUACAAUAAACUAGGGUUUUUACGUCUUUUCGUAAUAUGAAAAUCGGUACGGAGUGUGUAUUAAAUUUAGUGAUUAAGAGUGAGUUUUAGAUGAUAUUAUAUGUGUUAUUAGUAGUAAUAAUAAUAAAUUAGUGAAUUAUAAGUGAAAACCCUAGUACGGUCGAUUUACGGAAAAACGGUGUGAACCGACGUGUGCCGUUGACUACUGAUUGAACACACCACUUGACCACCAAUUUCUUAACUUGAUCUCAUUGUUAUUAGUGCAUAAUAUCACCCCCUCAUCAGAUCAUUAUGGCUGAAAAUGUUGACCAUUCAAACCAAGGAAAAAAAAUUCAAGAUCAAACUUUGUGGUGACAAGUGGAAGCAAUCCAACCAAUUUGACCUAAACUAAGACCAAGCUUCUUAACCUUUCUUGGACUUCAUUCUUCUUCAUUUUGCAGCUAUGGUGGCCGAACCUUGAGAGCAAAAAAAAGAGAAGAGAGCUUCAAUUCCAUCUUAAGUUUUAGCUCAGUUUGAGUGAGAAUCAAGAAUCCAAACCGAUUAAUCUCUCAGUUGAGCACUUGGAAAGCUUAGGGUGCUAAAAGUUUUACAAGGAGAGGUGGUGAAUUUAUUUUGCAAGCAUUUUAUUGAGGUAUCAUGGCUGUCCAUCUCAUUCUUUCCCCUUAAUCUUACUUAAGUUUAUGUAGCAACUUGUAUUCUUGGCUUACGAUAGCUAUUAAAAUAGUUUGAUAAUUAUGGUGGAUUUGUGAGUUAGGGUUUUGAAUUGGUUAGUUGUAUUUCUUAUUGUUUAGACACAAUAUGAUGUGAAUAAACUUAGAUAGGGAGUGGUAGUAGUGGUUUUAUACAUGAAUAAGAAGAUUAUCACUUGAAUGCAUUAAUUGCAGUUUUAAGUUUUGUACUACUCUGUUUUGACCAAUUUCAUUCGGUCAUGAUGGAGCCAGAAUUGGGCUUAGAUUAAAACAUGAAAGUUGUAGGAAAUAAUGAUGUUUUAUAGCUUCCUGUAAAAGUUCAGCUCAAUCCAAGCACUGUAUCACAUGAAAUGACAAAAAUACCCUUGACUGCCAUAGGUAAAGUUUUGCAGACAGUUUUGACGUUUCAUCAUUCUGGCUUCAUUUUUCACCUUGAUCCAUAUUAAAUCAAUAGUUGGCCAAAACAGGAAAGUUGUAGUCUUAUAUUUUAGAUUUCUAACGCAUCUAAAAACGCCGUAAUCGGACUCAUGUAGCCUGAGUUAUUAUCAUUUGAACCCAAUGCUGUUAUCCAGCCUGACAGUGAAUUCUGGUUCUGUAAUCUGUAAAUUCAACCUAGAUAAACUGUGAACCGGGUUGAGUUGUCUUCAUGAAAGUUGUAGCUCUUUGUCUUAGCUUCGAAACAGUAUAAAUUUUACCCCAAUUCUAUAAGCGUAGCUUCGGUUGUGACCGAUAUACUAAGAGACAUCAAGCCUGUCAUUUUGUUCUUUACCUUAAACCUUAUUUUCGAUCACUCUUCUAUCUUGGUUUUGUAAUUGAAUGACUUUUAGCCCAUUGAACGGCUAUUGUAAUGAGAUUAUUUGCAUGUGAUUUUGGGGUCUGAUUGAGGAAAAUAAUGAAGCCAUAAAUGGCUGAAAAAUAGGUAAAUACAAAGGGCGUGCUGCCCAAAUUUGCACUCGAGAGCUGGGUAGAUGUGCUCGCGACUUGAGUAAGGGUUGAGGAUGAAACUAACUUGAAUCAUCUAAGGUAUUCAAGUCUUCUUUAUUAGUGGUAUAUAAGUUAGAAUCUGGCCGAAACUUUUACCCUUGGAAAAAUGAAAUUUACGACUAAUAGAAAUACGUUUUGUUCGUUUCUUCGACUCAAAUGGAGAUUUCAAAGUUUUACGAGCGAGCAUAAGUUUUACAAAUAUUUUACUCAUGUCCUUUAGUUUAAAUGUACUCUUUUUACUUCUGAAACUAUACUUAUACUUUGUACUAGUAAUUAUUCGGAUUUUUUUUGAUUCACCUAAACUUUGGAUGGUUUAACUGUAAUAUUUUCUCUUGGUUAUUAUUAGGUUUCCUUGGUGAUUAAGGGUAUUAUCCGGAAGGAAACUUUGGACGUUAUUUUGCUUAAAUAGGUGAGUGUUCUUUGUACGUUAUGUUUCCAAUGACUAUGUCGAUUGUUGUGACUACGUGACUAUUUAUGAAUGUUGGAUUAAAUGUUAAAUGUUUUCAAUGAUUUCUGAAAAUGAAUUUUGCUAGGCGAGUGUGUACUUUAUCGCACUCUACCUAAAUGAAUGUGAAAUUUACAAUAAUUAAAUGAUUAAAUGUUUAAAUACUACUUGUACAUGAAUGUAAGUCUUUUGCCUGAACUGAGCCCUUUCCCUUCGUUACCGGUCGACUCGAGCCAGAAGCGGAUUCGGUCGGGCGAUUGGUGACACUGGGUUAAUGUUUGGUAUACUCGUGUAUGACCAUGAAAUCUGGUGGACGCUGGCCAGUGUCCAGUAGGGGCAAAAUGAAAUGAAUGAAUGAAUGAAUGAAUGGCAAGAACAAUGGAGGGGCUUUCACUUACAAACAAAAUUAUUUUUAAUGCUGGAGGAAUAAGGAAAUGGUUGGUGGAAUGAAUGAACGAAAGGCUCCAUGUGAGCAUGUAACCUUUUAAUGAAUGUAUUAUCAUUACUUUAUAUUGUAAAUGUUUUCUAGAUUACUUGUUAGUACAUGAUUAAUGUUGUUGUUUAAUUAUUUGGCAAUGUGUAUUGAACCUCACUGGGCUUUUAGCUCAUUCCAUUAGUUUUGUUUUCCUCACAGGGAAUGCGAGUGAGGGCGUGAGUCCUGUGCAGACUAGUUUGGUCUAGUUUUUUGAAAUUUUAUUUUUUUUAUUGUUCUCACGCUAGUGCUUGGAUAAGGUUGGAUGUAGUAAAAACUUAAAACUUUUGUUCUAAUUGGGAUUGUAUUUCUAUUUGAGAUGGAUAUAAAUGUAAGUAUAUGUUUCAAGUUUGGGAAUUGUAUUUCCCUUAGUCUCAAGGUUGUAUCUUAUUUCACUUGAUGAGAGCAAUCGAGUCCUGGCGAGAGCUGGGCGGCGAGUCCGCCAAACCCUUUGGUUUGCCUUAGGGGAAGGUGGGGCUGUCUGAACCAAAGGGGUUAGUGGACUGCCUGUCCAAUUCUCGCCAGAACUAUUAAGACAGUUAGAUACAAUCUAAAACGUUCCGGAAGAAAAUAGCGCGCUUAAACCAAUCAAAAAUUGCGAAACGGAAAAACAAAAAUCGGAGCCGCACAUGAAUAGUGCCGGCCACAUCACAAUCCGGCCGAAAUCUGGUCGGAUUUUCGACCGGAUUCUUGGCCGGAUUGGAGGCAGUGACCAACUGCCUGGAUUCAAAAAACCAAGACAAUCCGGCGAAGAUUUGGCCAGAUUUACGGUAGGUUUCCCCUGUGCCCUUUCCCGCCAAAAUUUUUCCUUUUUUCGUUUAAAGUCCGAACCUGUUCGAAAUCCAACCGAUUACCAUCAAAUCAUAUAACCCUUGAAAAUAGACAUUUACAAACCAAAAUAGUACAUGAACACUCCCAAACACUUUUAUAUACAUAUGGUUGCACAUUUACAACUCAAAAGGAAAUGUUGGAUCAAAAUACAAUUAAGGGUUUUCCAACCAUCGAGAAGCUAUACAAAAGAAUAUUAAACUAGUUCAACAUGGCUUCAAAAUUACAGUUCCAAAAGGUGGUCCCUGUAAGGAAAACAAAGGCAACGGAGUGAGCUUUCGCCCAAUAAGGUACCAUCACGCAAAUCAACAAAGUUCACAUAAGCACAAAGUUACUCAAUCCAAAUACGUUCAACAAGUAAGCCGAACUAACACCACAUUUCAACAAAGAUUUUUAAAAGGAUACAGACGGCUCUCAAGAGCUCUUUUCUGCUUUUGCCGUACUUGAUCCCAUCUCAUUGACUCUCUGUCAAUGUAUAAAGAGUAACCAAUACCAUAGAUUCCACUUUUCUCCAAUUUUUGUUCACCUCACAUACCCCUACCGGGCCCAAAUCCAAUCAGUUCAGAAAUGAUAAUACUCGAGUAUACCGGAAUCAAGAGUCUCAUACCCAAUGACUCCACAUAAACAGUCCCCAAGGCUUGUCAAUUUCCUCGACCAUGCCCUUGCUGACUCGAUUCAAUUGACCACCAAAGGGGUUGAGCUCAGAGUUAACAGUAAAGGUCGUUGGAUACACGUCCAAACGACACCAGUUCAAGUAUAUUCAAGAGAAACUCAAUUGAUACAGUAAACAGUCACAUAAGCCAUAGAGUACGAGAGUGAUAAAGUACACCCUCGUCUAAACCAAGAUCAUCAGUAGACACAAGCAUUCCAAUCAUAGAUUUCAAGUAUAACAAAGUCAUGAAGUAACAAUCAUGUGAGUAGUACACUCACCAAUCAAACAAAAGGGAUUUCAUAAAUUUCCGUCCAACGAGCGCCUUGGGUUACCGGUACGCCCUAAAACAUUCAAGAAAACACAUUGAGACUCGAACACGAGUCUUAAACCUAACCACAUACUACUAAUGCAAAAUCAAAAGAACUCGAAGGUAAAAUAAGGAACACUUGGUGUUAAAGGUUUAAACAACUCCAACGUCACUCGUUAAUACUCAAAGCAACCCAAUUCCAAGAAAGUAUAUGGACCUAAAAUUUGGACAGCAUUUUCUCUUAAAAUUUCAGAUUUCCAUCCUAUAAAUAAUCAUUCAUAUUUAACCAACACAACUACAACUACAAGUACAAGUCCUAUGCCAUUCAAUACACCUUAUUAGAGUUACAAUACCCUUUAAAUAAAGCCAAUUCAAGAGUUCCAUAAUAACUCUAGAAAAGCCCCAAUUCAAAACCCUAAAUCUGAAAUUUUUUGCACAAAGCAGAAAUUUUUUGCAAAUAACUACAAUUAACACACCAAAGCUUCACUUUAAACCAUAACCAGCCAUCAUCCAUAGCCAACCAACACUAAUCAUAUAAAAUCAGAAAAAUCAUGAAAAAAUCAGAAAUUCAUCAAUCUCUACUAAAAGUCAUGAAAUCAUCCACAAAAUCACUUCUUUGACUAUCACAAGUCACGAAUUUAACAUUAUGAAGAACAAAGGAAGAAUUUCUUAGCCACUCGCCUUGUAAACUCAAGAAAAGAAGCAACUUAGCAGCUCCUCUUUCCAAACCACUCCAACACCUUCCUUAAUCCUACUUUACAAAUGAUUUUUAUGGAGAAAUUUGGAGUUUUAUCGGUUAGAUCAUAAGAUUGAGCAAGAUUGGGAAGAAGAAAGUUGAAGGUUUUCCUUUCUUUUCUCUCUAUGGAGCUCGGCCAAAUGGAUGAAGAAAGUGGUGAUUUUUUGGUCAAAUUUUGUUAUUUAGUAAAGUUGGGUAAGAUGGUCAAAGUCCAAGAUGGAAUCACAAAGUGACACUUGUCACCUUUUGGUUUAAAACUAUCCUUUUGUCUCUCCAACAUUAUUCCAUUUAGGUAACCACUAAUUACGUCUUAACACCUAAUAAAUUAAUCCCUGUAUACAAAACUUAACCUAUUUGGCCGAAUUUAUCGCACUUAUCGCACUAGCGGGUCUCACGUCCAAUAUACCAUCCUAAAAUCUCAUGACCUAACUUAUACUAGAAUAUGAUUUUAAAACUAUAUUUACUCAUAAAAAUUAUCUAAAAAAACUUCUAAUAAAAAAAAUAUAUAAAACGCGUGCAAAUAAAUAAAAUAAAACCUAGAAAAUAAGAAAAUUUUCGGGUUCUAACACUCUCUUCCCCUUAAAAGAAUUUCAUCCUCGAAAUUUCUCACAUUGAUUCACAAAUAGUUCAGGUAUUUCUUUUGCAUUUCUUCUUCCACCUCCCAGGUAGCCUCUUCUAUCCCAUGAUUUCUCCACAAGAUCUUCACCAAAGGGAUUUGUUUGUUUCUCAGCUCCUUAACCUUUCAGUCAAGCAACUGUACAGGUUUCUCUUCAUAGGUGUGUGAUUCAUCUAUCUCAAUUUUCUCCGAUUGUAAGAUAUGAGAUGGGUCAGGAUGGUACUUCUUAAACAUCGAGACGUGGAAGACGUCGUGAAUCUUGAACAGACUUGAUGGGAGUUCAAGUCGAUACGCUACUUUCCCAAUUUUCUGGAGAAUUUUGAAAGGUCCGACGAACCUCGGUUGAAGUUUCUUUCCUUUACCCGUCGUGAUGCUUCGUAACAGUGUGACCUUAAGAAAACACGGUCCCCAACUUUGAACUCCAAAUCUUUCAUUCGAUUGUCCGCGUAGCUCUUUUGUCGGUUUUGAGUUGUUUGGAAUCUUUGUUGUAUCAACCAGACUUUUUCUCAUGUAUCCUCCAUCCAUGGAAUAGUCGUCGGAUCUAGAACCUUUCUUUCGCCGACUUCAUCCCAAUAGAUCGGUGAUCGGCACUUCCUCCCGUAAAGCGCUUCAUAUGGUGCCAUUUGAAUUGACGAGUAGUAACUAUUAUUGUAAGCAAACUCUACUAAGAUCAUAUGUUGACCCCAGUUGCCUCCCAAAUCUAGAAUACAGGUUCUUAACAUAUCCUCGAGAGUUUGAAUUGUUCACUCCGACUGUCCAUCCGUCUGGGGAUUUUAAGUGGUACUAAGGUUGAGUUUAGUCCCUAAAGUCUCUUGAAUUUUUUGCCAAAAUCUAGAUACGAAACGGGGAUCUCUAUCCGAAACGAUGCUCACAGGAACUCCAUGUAGUCUUAUAAUCUCAUCCAUAUACACCUGAGUUAAUUUAUCUAUAGAAUACUUCAUGUUUACCAGCAAGAAAUGGGCCGAUUUGGUUAACCGAUCGACGAUCACCCAAACGGCAUCAUGUCCUCAUUACGUUCGCGGCAAACCUGAAACGAAAUCAAUCGUAAUAUUUUCUCACUUACAUUUGGGUAUCUCAAGAGGUUGUAACAAUCCAGAUGGUUUUUGAUGUUCCGCCUUAACUUGUUGACAGAUGAGACACGUUUGCACGUAUUGAGCAAUUUUUUUUUCAUGUUGUCUCACCAAUAGGCUCCUUUUAGGUCCUGGUACAUUUUUCUACUACCCGGAUGGAUCGUAUACUUGGACCGAUGAGUUUUCUCUAAGAUCUCCUUCUUUAACAUUUCAUCUUUGGGCACCACUACUCGGUUUCGAUAUUUCAAAACUCCAUCGGGACUGAAGUUGAAAUCUGUCAAUUCCCCCUUUUCUACUUUCUCUUCCCACUUCCGUACCAUAAAAUCUUCCUUCUGGGUUUCUUUAAUCCGCUCCAGUAAAGUGAACGUUACUUUAAUAUUACCAAAAAUCACCUUAUGACUUCCAAGACAGGGUUUCCACUCACAAACCGAUUCUAACAGAUCCUACUCCUUAAUCAUUAACCCCGCUACUUGAGUCUUUCGAUUUAAGGCAUCGACCACCACGUUAGUGUUUUCCGGAUGGUAGUUAAUGGUGCAGUCGUAGUCCUCCAGAAAUUCCAUCCACCGUCGUUGCCUCAUAUUCAAUUCCUUCUAUUAGAAGAGAUAUCUAAGACUCUUAUGGUCUGAGUAGAUCUCGAAAGUUACCCCAAAUAGAUAGUGUCUCCACUUUUUCAAAGCAAAAAUAACUGCGGCUAACUCCAGGUCGUGGGUUGGGUAGUUCUUCUCGUGGGAUUUCAAUUUUCUAGAGGCAAAAGAUAUCACAUUCUGGUUUUGCAUCAGCACACACCCUAGACCUUCUCGCGAGGCGUCGAUAUAAACGGUAAAACCAUCUAAUCCGUUCGGUAAAUCUAGAAUUGGUGCCAUGGUUAAUCUUUUCUUUAGCUCUCAAAAGCUAGCUUCACACCUAGCAUCUCACAUAAAAUGACCAUUUUUCUUCGUCAGAUCGGUUAAAGGAUCGGCAAGUUUGGAAAAGUCUUUAAUAAAAUGCCUAUAGUACUCAGCCAACCCUAGAAAACUAUGAAUCUCAUGGGAUUUUCUGGCCUCUUCCAAUCAGUCAUGGCCUCUACUUUCGCCAGAUCAACCGAGAUGCCCUCUUGGGAAAUUACAUGCCCUAAGAAAGAAAUUUUCUCCAGCCAAAACUCACACUUACUAAACUUGGCGUACAACUGAUGCUCUCUUAGAGUUUGCAAAAUGAUUCUUAAGUGCUGCUCAUGCUCCUUACGGGUCUUUAAGCAGACCAGGAUGUCAUCAAUAAAUACAACUACAAAUCGAUCCAAAUAGAGUUUAAAAACCUUAUGCAUCAGAUCCAUGAAGGCAGCAGGGGCAUUGGUAAGUCCAAAAGCCAUGACUGUGAAUUCAUAGUGCCCAUACCUUGAAUUGAAAGCAGUUUUUAGUAUAUCCUCAUUCCUAAUUAACAAUUGAUAAUACCCCUGUCGGAGGUCUAAUUUUGAAAAUACCAUUGCUCCGUGCAACUGGUCGAACAACUCAUCAAUAUAGGGCAGUGGAUAUUUAUUUUUAUUCGUUACAUUAUUCAGCCCCCGGUAGUCUAUACACAUCCGCAGACUCCCAUCCUUUUUCUUCACAAACAACACAGGGGCUCCCCAAGGAGACCCACUCUCUCAAAUGAACCCCCACUCCAAAAGAUCUUGAAACUGUAAUUUCAACUCCUUAAACUCAGCAAGUGCCAUCCGAUACGGGUUUUAGAGAUAAGUGACGCCCCUGGUAAUAGAUCAAUUUUAAAUUCUAUCUCUCUUUCUGGAGGUAGGGUUACUAAUUCAUCAGGAAAUAUGCCUGUAUAUUCUUUCACUACGUGCAUAUCCUCUACUUUCAGUUUAUCUGUGAGGGUAUUGAUUAGAAAGGCUAAGAACUUUUGCGGCCCUCUACUAAGUAAUUUCUUAACCCGAAUACCCGAGAUCAAGGCAGACGAGACUAACCUACCCCUUAUAUCUUACCUUAAAGUCGCCUCUCUAGGAAUGCGGAAUUCUAACACCUUCUUCUUAUAAUCAAGUUGAGCGUUAUACCUGGCUAACUAGUCCAUGCCCAAAAUUACAUCAUACCCCUUAAUGGACGGGCUUAUCAAAUCCCCUAACAAUUUCCUUUCUUUUACCCAAACUUCAUAAUCCUUAUAAACCAUACUAGUGAUCAAACGCUGAUUCCCCAUAGGAGUACUAACUUCCAGGUCAUAGGGUAAACUAGCAGGUUUUAUAUCUAUUCCACACAUAAAAUUGGGGUUGACAAAUGAAUGAGUAGCACCGGGAUCUACUAGAACUUUCGUAAAUCGGUGGAAUACAGAAAUCGUACCCUUCACAAUUUCGAAAGAAUCGGGGACCUGUUGUGACUCCAGUGAAUACACUCGAGCCGCUACCUUAGGUUUAGUUCUUUCCACCUUAGCCGGUUCGGAAUUGGUUCUCGUCGAUUGUUGGCUCCCCUUUUCAUCUCGUGAUAGAAUCGGACAAGUGGCAAGCUAGUGGUCUGCACUUCCGCAACGCAAACAUUUUCUCUUCUUCUUCCAGCAAUUGUUCUCCGUGUGGUUUGGCUUUCCGUAAUACCCGCAGGGUCCACGAGAUGCAGAAGCCGAGCCUCUUUGGAAACCUCCUCUUUGACCUCUCCCAACUUGGCCACCCCUUGACGGGGCCCCUCGAGACGUUCCCGGUAUCCUUCCUCCUCCAGUCCCCCAUCCAAACUUGUGAGGGUUACUCUUAUCCCCCUGUCCCAAACAGCUUCCAGGGAAUCCUCGCUUCUUUGUCUGGAAGUUUCUUACUUGUAACCUGGCAUUUUUCACUCAUUGAGCCUUCUCCACUGCAUCACUGAAGGCGUUAAUCUGGGCUACAACUAGAUCCUUCUGGAUCUCCACGUUUAGACCUUGGACAAAGCGCCUUAUUCUUCGUUGUUCGGUCAUGAUAAAUUUGGGUGCAAAUUUAGACAGUCGAAUGAAUUGGCUCUCGUACUCGGCUACCGUCUGAGUCCCCUGGUGAAACGGGAUAAACUCGUCUUCCUUCCAUUCUUGAACCAGAGGAGGAAAGAAUUUUGCGUUGAACUCCCUCAUGAAAUUCACCCAUGUCCUGGGCGUUUACUCUCGGUCCCAUUUCUGUCGUAUUACAUUCCACCAGGAACAGGUUGCUCCUUCCAGUUGGAAGACAGCAAAAGUCACCUGCCUUUCCUUCGUGUAGUGCAGGGCAGUAAAGAUGUCUACCAUCUUUUCUAGCCAUCUUUCGGCUACAUCCGGAUCGGGUCCUCCAAUAAAUUUCGGUAGGAAAAACUUCUGAAACCUUUCGAGGGCCCUGUCCUUGCUUUCCAGGUGAUUACCAGGAUUUUCAGGGUUGAAAUUAGGGUUUUGACCCUGUUGCCCCACCACAUGGGCUAACAAGUCGGUCAUGCGUUGAAUGGCUGCGGCCACUUACACGUUCGGAUUGACCUAGGUUCAGGGUUUGGUUCAAACGUGGUUCCUCUAGUACCCCCUUCAGUUUUAGGUUGCCUAAUUCUGCGACCACGACCACAUCCACUACGGGUACCUUUCAUGAAAUUUAGUCGAUCUAGGGUCAAACGUAAUCGUAAUGUUAAAGAUAAAGGUAAACGUAAGUAAGGAGCCAAAAGAUAUUCACAAUCAAAACAUAUAUACAUAUCACACAACAGUGUCAAACAAGUCACACAUAGCAGUCAGUCGGAUACAAACAAAGAAAUUCCAUGAAAUAACGGCGUCAUCAAAAGAUAUAUGUACAAAGCUAGUCUAAACAUACAAAAAUGGCUAGCUAAGGUUCUUUCCCUGAUCUACUAUCCCCAUGGAAUCAAAAGUAGUUCAAAAGAGUGGUUCCGGCAACAGUUACAACGACGAGCCCGACUAGUGGUAUACCAAAGCCGGAUCGGACCUCCAAACUUUUCUUGAUAAUCAAUAAUGCGAGCCCGCCUCUGAGGCGGUUCACCCCCGCCCUCUUCACUUGUUCUAGUCAUGGCCUACAAGAAUAGCAAAAGUGUUCAUAUCUUAGACAACGUAAUCACAUUUAAUGGCACCUCAACACAUUCCUCACAGGUCCUAAGGAACAAAAUUCAAACUUGCCUAGGUCAUUUCUAACCUGGCUUUGAUACGACCUGUGACAGCCCCACCUUUCCCUAAGGCGUACCAAAGGGGUUAGAGAACUGCCUGCCCAACUCUCGUCAGGACUACUAAGACAGUUAGAUACAAUCUAAAACGUUUCGAAAGAUAAUAGUGCGCUUAAACCAAUCAAAAAUCGGGAAACGAAAAAAUGAAAAUCGGAGUAGCACAUGAAUAGUGCCGGCCACGUCACAAUCCGGCCGGAAUCUAGCCGGAUUCUUGGCCGGAUUGGAGGCGGUAACCAACUACCCGGAUUCAAAAAACCAAGACAAUCCGCCUAGCAAUCCGGCCAAAAUUUGGCCGGAUUUGCAACCGGAUUCCCCUGUGUCAUUUCCCACCAAAAUUUUUCCUUUUUUCGUUCAAAGUCCAAACCUGUUCGAAACCCAACCGAUUUCCAUCAAAUCAUAUAACCCUUGAAAAUAGACAUUUACAAACCAAAAUAGCACAUGAACACUCCCAAACACUUUUAUAUACAUAUGGUUUCACAUUUACAACUCAAAAGGAAAUGUUGGAUCAAAAUACAAUUAAGGGUUUUCCAACCAUCGAGGAGCUGUACAAAAUAAUAUUAAACUAGCUCAACUCGGCUUCAAAAUCACAGUUCCAAAAAGUGGUUCCCUGUAAGGAAAACAAAGGCAACGGAGUGAGCUUUCGCCCAAUAAGGUACCAUCAUGCAAAUCAACAAAGUUCACAUAAGUACAAAGUUACUCAAUCCAAAUACGUUCAACAAGUAAGCCGAACUAACAUCACAUUUCAACAAAGAUUUUUAAAAGGAUACGGACGGCUCUCAAGAGCUCUUUUCCACUUUUACCGUACUUGAUCCCACCUCAUUGAUUCUCUGUCAAUGUAUAAAGAGUAACCAAUACCAUAGAUUUCACUUUUCUCCAAUUUCCGUUCACCUCACAUACCCCUACCGGGCCCGAAUUCCAAUUAGUUCAGAAAUGAUAAUACUCGAGUAUACCGGAAUCAAGAGUCUCAUACCCAAUGACUCCACAUAAACAGUCCCCAUGGCUUGUCAAUUUCCUCGACCAUGCCCUUGCUGACUCAAUUCAAUUGACCACCAAAGGGGUUGAGCUCAGAGUUAACAGUAAAGGUCGUUGGAUACACGUCCAAACGACACCAGUUCAAGUAUAUUCAAGAGAAACUCAAUUGAUACAGUAAACAGUCACAUAAGCCAUAGAGUACGAGAGUGAUAAAGUACACCCUCGUCUAAACCAAGAUCAUCAGUAGACACAAGCAUUCCAAUCAUAGAUUUCAAGUAUAACAAAGUCAUGAAGUAACAAUCAUGUGAGUAGUACACUCACCAAUCAAACAAAAGGGAUUUCAUAAAUUUCCGUCCAACGAGCGCCUUGGGUUACCGGUACGCCCUAAAACAUUCAAGAAAACACAUUGAGACUCGAACACGAGUCUUAAACCUAACCACAUACUACUAAUGCAAAAUCAAAAGAACUCGAAGGUAAAAUAAGGAACACUUGGUGUUAAAGGUUUAAACAACUCCAACGUCACUCGUUAAUACUCAAAGCAACCCAAUUCCAAGAAAGUAUAUGGACCUAAAAUUUGGACAGCAUUUUCUCUUAAAAUUUCAGAUUUCCAUCCUAUAAAUAAUCAUUCAUAUUUAACCAACACAACUACAACUACAAGUACAAGUCCUAUGCCAUUCAAUACACCUUAUUAGAGUUACAAUACCCUUUAAAUAAAGCCAAUUCAAGAGUUCCAUAAUAACUCUAGAAAAGCCCCAAUUCAAAACCCUAAAUCUGAAAUUUUUUGCACAAAGCAGAAAUUUUUUGCAAAUAACUACAAUUAACACACCAAAGCUUCACUUUAAACCAUAACCAGCCAUCAUCCAUAGCCAACCAACACUAAUCAUAUAAAAUCAGAAAAAUCAUGAAAAAAUCAGAAAUUCAUCAAUCUCUACUAAAAGUCAUGAAAUCAUCCACAAAAUCACUUCUUUGACUAUCACAAGUCACGAAUUUAACAUUAUGAAGAACAAAGGAAGAAUUUCUUAGCCACUCGCCUUGUAAACUCAAGAAAAGAAGCAACUUAGCAGCUCCUCUUUCCAAACCACUCCAACACCUUCCUUAAUCCUACUUUACAAAUGAUUUUUAUGGAGAAAUUUGGAGUUUUAUCGGUUAGAUCAUAAGAUUGAGCAAGAUUGGGAAGAAGAAAGUUGAAGGUUUUCCUUUCUUUUCUCUCUAUGGAGCUCGGCCAAAUGGAUGAAGAAAGUGAUGAUUUUUUGGUCAAAUUUUGUUAUUUAGUAAAGUUGGGUAAGAUGGUCAAAGUCCAAGAUGGAAUCACAACGUGACACUUGUCACCUUUUUGGUUUAAAACUAUCCUUUUGUCUCUCCAACAUUAUUCCAUUUAGAUAACCACUAAUUACCUCUUAACACCUAGUAAAUUAAUCCCUGUAUACAAAACUUAACCUAUUUGGCCGAAUUUGUUGCACUUAUCGUACUAGCGAGUCCCGCGUCCAAUAUACCCUCCUAAAAUCUCAUGAGCUAACUUAUACUAGAAAAUGAUUUUUAAACUAUAUUUACUCAUAAAAAUUAUCUAAAAAAACUUCUAAUAAAGAAAAUAUAUAAAACGCGUGCAAAUAAAUAAAAUAAAGCCUAGAAAAUAAGAAAAUUUUCGGAUUCUCACACUGUCACAUGUGGUAUCAGAGCCACUUCGUGUGGUCUCUGUGCGAAGUGAGUUUGGGUCAAGUGGUGUUAUGGUCCUGAUUUCGUGAAUAAGUAUGAAGGAUUAAGUGCUCUUUUGAGCAUAAGUUAUGAAUCAUGAAUUGUUAUAGGUCUUAAAUCUCUCUCAUGGUACUUGAAGACAAUAGAUAAGUACGUCAAGUAGGAAUCUCGAUUGUAGAUAAUUUACUCUUGGGACUGGCCAACUCGAGUGGUGAAUUAUCUCGGAUUCUUGUACCUAAGUAAGCGAGAGUUGAGGGCAAUACUAAGGACUUGCAAUCUUUAUUGCGGGGAACAAGAAUGGGAAAUGUUUGGUGAGAGUAAGUGUUAGGAGUUAACGGAUGUCUAGUUCGUAUGGUAAGAGAAGUGACAAAUGGGACGGGGAAUAUUUUAACCGAGUGUGGAACGGUAUGCCGUAUUUUCUUUUGUUUUGCCUCUAUAUUGUUACCGUAUGUAUUUGGUUUGUUGCAUGUUAAUACUUACGUGUAUAGUAUUUGCCGUACUUGAUUUUAUUUUUGUUCAACUUGAUAUAUAGUUUUGUGAAUUUGGUGUGUUAUAUCUUGUUGUUUUAGUCAAUUUACUUUGUUACAUACUAAAUCACCUUUUGAAAAAAAAAAGAGAGAGAAAAAGGGUAUGAAGGGGAGACGUGGUCGCCGACGUAGAGCUAGUCGGGGCCGUGGGGCUAGGCAAGCUCAAGAACCAAGAAAUGAAAGAGAAACAAUAGCUGAGCAAGAUCGUGGGCCGAGGGUUGAGGCAAGAGACCAAGUAGCGACAGCGAUCCAACAAAUGACAAAUAUCCUAGCGCGAUUGGUAGAUCAACAAAGUCAAAUGCCAGUGAAUCAACCCCAGAAUUCCGAGAUAGGAAAGGAUAGGGCUCUAGAGCGGUUUCAAAAAUUUGUACCUCCUAAAUUCCAUAGAGGGCCUGAUCCAGAUGUAGCUGAAUAGUGGUUAGAGGCAAUGAUUAACAUCUUCGCAGCAUUGAACUACACGGAGCAAAGACAGGUGAACUUUACUGUAUUCCAAUUCGAAGAACCAGCCCGAGCAUGGUGGAAUGUUAUUAGGGCAAAGUGGGAGAGAGAACAAACUGCAUGGACAUGGGUGAACUUUAUAAGGGAAUUUAAUGAGAAGUACCUCCCACUUUUGGUCCAAGAAAAGAAAGAUGAUGAGUUUAUUGGAUUGCGUCAAGGAACCCAAAGUGUGGCCGAAUAUGAUACUAAAUUUAUUAAACUGUCUAAGUUCGCUUCCGAAUUAGUGGUUACAAAGCGAAUGAGAGUAAGAUGGUUCAUACAAGGCUUGAAUUUGGAAAUCCAGGAAGCUUUAGAGGCGGUUCAAGUUAAUACUUUUACGGAAACUCUCGAGAAAGCGUAAAGAAUUGAGGAUGCGAAAGCACAAGUAAAAGCUUUUCAAACGCGAAAAAGAGGUGCAUCUAGUAGCAUACCUGAGGAACCUGAAGAAAAGAUAACGCCCUCCAAAGUGUAAAAAGUGAACCAUUUACCUCAUCCACCAUGAACCAUCUACAUAAGAAAGUCAAAGAGGACAAGAGGGGAUUUCUCGAGAAGGCCAAACAGUGGCAUCCCACGUGGCCUGUGGAUACUGUGGGAAGGCAAAUCACACUGAGAAUGAUUACUGGAGGAAAGGGCGAAGGUGUUUGAUUUGUGGAAGUGGCAAUCAUCAAAUUAGCAAUUGUCCAAAGAAACAGCCCCGAGAGAAUAAUGCCUAACAAGUGAAUGGAACCAAAUCGAAACAAGUGAAUGAAAGAGGGAACCGAACAAAAGUACCAGCAAAGAUAUAUGCCUUAGACAAACAACAAGCGCCGGAGUCGUCUGAGGCAACGGAAGGUAUGAAUUUCGAGGUCGAAAUUCUCUUAAGGAUGAGAGAGUGUGAGGACUUGAAAAAUCCCUUAUAUUUUUCUUAAAAAUUCCCUUUAAUUUGGAAUUUAUUACUUUAUAGUAGCUUUACUACACAUUCACUUUCCCAAUAGCUACAAAUAAUCAUAGAAAUAAGGAUUUCCUUUUUACUUUCAUCGUUACAAUAAACUAGGAUUUUUACGUCUUUUCGUAAUAUGAGAAUCGGUACGGAGUGUGUAUUAAAUUUAGUGAUUAAGAGAGAGUUUUAGAUGAUAUUACAUGUGUGAUUAGUAGUAAUAAUAAUAAGUUAGUGAAUUAUAAGUGAAAACCCUAGUACGUUCGAUUUACGGAAAACCGGUGUGAACCGACGUGUACCGUUGACUAUCAAUUGAACACACCACUUGACCACCACUUUCUUAACUUGAUCGCAUUGUUAUUAGUGCAUAAUAUCACCCUCUCAUCAGAUCAUUAUGGCCGAAAAUGUUGACCAUUAAAACCAAGGAAAAGAAGAAAAUUCAAGAUCAAAUUUUGUGAUGACAAGUGGAAGCAAUCCAACCAUCUUUGACCUAAUCUAAGACCAAGCUUCUUAACCUUUCUUGGACUUCAUUCUUCUUUAUUUUGCAGCUAUGAUGGCUGAACCUUGAGAACAAAAAAGAGAGAAGAGAGCUUCAAUUUCAUCUUAAGUUUUUGCUCAGUUUGAGUGAGAAUCAAGAAUCGAAACUGAUUAAUCUCUUAGUUGAGCACUUGGAAAGCUUGGGGUGCUAAGAGUUUAGCAAGGAGAGGUGGUGGAUUUAUUUUGCAAGCAUUUUAGUGAGGUAUCAUGGCUGUCCAUCUCAUUCCUUCCCCUUAAUCUUGCUUAAGUUUAUGUAGCAACUUGUAUUCUUGUCUUACGAUUGCUAUUUAAGUAAUUUUGAUGAUUAUGGUGGAUUUGUGAGUUAGGGUUUUGAAUUGGUUAGUUGUAUUUUUUAUUAUUUAGAUAGAAUAUGAUGUGAAUAAGCUUAGAUAGGGAGUGGUAGUAGUGGUUUUAUACAUGAAUAAGAAGAUUAUCACUUGAAUGCAUUAAUUCCAGCUUUAAAUUUUUGUACUACCCUGUUCUGACCAGUUUCAUUCGGUCAUGAUGGAGGCAGAAUUGGGCUUAGAUUAAAACAUAAAAGUUGUAGGAAAUGAUGUUUUAUUACUUCCUGUAAAAUUUCAUCUCAAUCCGAGCUUUGUAUCACAUGAAAUGCCAAAAAUACCCUUGACUGCCAUAGGUAAAGUUUUACAGACAGUUUUGACAUUUCAUCAUUCUGGCUUCAUUUUUCACCUUGAUCCAUGUUAAAUCAGCAGUUGGACAAAACAGGAAAGUUGUAUUCUUAUGUUUUAGCUUUCCAACACAUCUGAAAACUCCUCAAUCGGACUUGUGUAGUCCGAGUUAUUGUCAUUUGAACCCAGUGCUGUUAUCCAGCCUGACAGUGAAAUUCUGGUUCUGUAAUCUGUAAAUUCGACCUGGAUAAACUAUGACCCGGGCUGAGUUGUCUUCAUGAAAGUUAUAGCCCUUUAUCUUAGCUUCGAAAUGGUAUAAAUUGUACCCCAAUCCUAUAAGCGUAGCUUCGGUUGUGACCGAUACGCUAAGAGACAUCAAACCUGUCAUUUUGUUCUUUACCUUAAACCUUAUUUCCGGUCACUUUUCCAGCUUGGUUUUGUAAUGGAAUGACUUUUAGCCUAUUGAAUGGCUAUUGUAAUGAGAUUAUUUGUGUGUGAUUUUGGGGGCUGAUUGAGGAAAAUAAUGAAGCCAUAAAUGGCUAGAAAAUAGGUAAAUACAAAGGGCGUGCUGUCCAAAUUUGCUCUCAAGGGCUAGGUAGAUAUACUCACGACUUGAGUAAGGGUUGAGGAUGAAACUAACUUGAAUCAUCUAAGGUAUUCAAGUCUUCUUUAUUAGAGGUAUAUAAGUUAGAAUCUAGUUGAAACUUGUACCCUUAGAAAAAUGAAAUUUACGACUAAUAGUAAUACGUUUUCUUCGUUUUUUCGACUCAAAUAGAGAUUUCAAAGUUUUACGAGCGAGCAUAAGUUUUACAAAUAUUUUACUCAUGUCUUUUGGUUUAAAUGUACUCUUUUCACUUCCAAACCAAAAUUAACUAAUAAAAUGUACUUAAAAAUGCGUAAAAUAAACUCUUAUCAAGUAGCUCCAGAAAAGAAAUCAUGCACCGCCACCAUAAAUCCAUUUUAAUAAUUUCCCAACAAUGCUGAAAAAAUACAGUCGAGUAUCCAUCUGGCCCUGCCGCAUUUUCUUUGUGGAUACUAAACACUGCUUGUCGAACCUCAGCCUCUGUCGGCAUUUCGUCCAACAUCUCCACAUCAUCUUGGGAGAGCUUGGGUAGCUGAAAUUGAAGACCAUCCAAACAUUUUACCCCAGACGAAUAACUAAAGAGCUCCUAAAAAAAUUCCACAGUCGAGUCUUGUAUUGUCGAGGGUGAUUCUACACAACCAUCAUUAUUAUCUUUAAUUCUAGCUAUGUAAUUCGUAUUCCUCCUCUCCCGAACCAGCGCAUAGAAAUAAGCCAUGUUUGCCUCCCCUUGUUUCAACCACUUAAUUGCCGUCUUUGUCUCCAGAAGUCAUUCUCUAUGGCUAAUAAUCUAGCAUGCCUGGCUCUAGCUUCACUUAGUUGAGACCUAUACACAUCUCCGCCUUGCUGAUCAUAUAUUGUUUGUAUCCACUGCAUUUCAUCUUGAGCCUCUUGAAUGUUCCAUUGGAUAUUGCCAAAGGCUUGGAGGUUCCAAGAUCUCAGCUUUCUAUUAAGUGCUACCAACUUUUGACAAAAUGCCUCCAUGCCCCGACCUCUUACAGGCUGAUCCCAUGACUCCCUUACUACUGACAAAAAAUUCCUAUGCGAAAUCCACACAUUCUGAAAACGGAAUGAACCAUGUCCCACCAUGCUGCCUUUAGAUUUCACUAACAAGGGGAGUGGUCCGAGCGCCCUCUCGACAAAUAAGUUGAGUGAACAGAAGCAUACAUACUAGCCCAAUCCGAAUUAAUAAAUAUGCGAUCUAGCCACUGUCAUACAUAACCAUUUUUCCAGGAGAAUAGGGACCCAUCAAAUUCAACUAUCGACACCCCUGUCUAGGCCAUACAAUUAUUGAAUUCUUCCACAUCCCCUACCUUGGAAGCCACCCUCCCCUCUUCUCCGAAGCUGUUAAAAUCACAUUAAAUUCCCCACCUAACACCCAUGGAACCUGUCACGCCCCGAGCCCGCAUGUGCCCAUCACGUAGCAUUCGCCGUAUUCUCAAAUCCCGCUCAAGAAUACAAGGCAUCAUUUAACUAGUCUAAACUUCAAAAAUACGAAAUAAUAUAACUAAAAUAAAGUGCGGUACAAAUCUCAUAAAAAGGUAGUCUACGAAUAUCCCAUAUGUUUGUACAUUUAUUUUCUAAUGGAAAUAGCGGAAUCAAAAAUAAAUAAGACUAACAACUAGAAGUAGCUAGCCUGCCAACUUCUAUUCACUUAAAGCUAAUAAAAGUCAUCCUCAUGGUCUUCUACGUAAACCAAUUCAUAAUCUUCAGAAUCUGCAAGGAUGGUAAAAAGGAGGUUGACCGAGAAAUCGCCCAGUAGGUAAUAACUACCCCUCUGUCGGACCAUGUACUCGUAACUUUACAGAUACAUAUAUAUAGAUAUAAAUCAAAUCAUUUGCACAUCGAUCACAUCCGUAAUUUGAAAGUAACGUCAUUUAUAAAACGACUAGUAGUAACAAUUGGCAAGUAAUUUAAAAGCACCUUAUUGAUAAAUGAACAUGGAAAAUCAUAACGUUGUAAAUCAUUUCGUCUCAAUUCACAAGUCUCUUCACAUCCACUCAUAAAUCAGUUCACAAGUCUCAUUCAGAUCAGUUCAUAAAUCAUUCCAUAUCACCUCAUAAAUCAUUUAAUCUUAGCUCAUAACAAGUACAUGUGAUGACCGGCUACUAAGUACUCAGUCUAGAGAUUAAACCCCUUCUAGGUGAGCGACCAAUAGGUUUCAUGACUAUCGAUUGGCCUCUUUUCAUACAUGGGACAAUCGGCCGGACUUUAUACUAGACUACCAUGACCUUGCCAAUCGGCCGGACUUUAUACCAGGCUACCACGGCUUUGUUAAUCGGCCGGACUCUAUACCAGGCUACCAUGACCUUCUCAAUCGGCCGGACUUUAUACCAGACUAAUAUGACGAUUAGACAGGACUAUAGCUCCUACCGUCUAUUCCAUGACUGUUUUGAGCUUUACUUGUCAAAAAUUCAUUCCACACGUCACAUACAUAAAUCUUUGAUUUCAUAAAAGAUUCAAUUCGUUUGGUAUAUAAUAACAUAUCAAAACAUUUCAAAUAAGUCACAUGGUCCAUUUUUGUAUAAUAAAAAUAUAACUUUCAUAAAUAUCCAAGUAAAGCAUUUAAUCAAAUAUAUUUCGAGUCAACACAACAAAAUAAGAUUGAAAACAAAAAUUUCAUUUUUGCACCUUUGAAAUCUUAGAAGGGUAAGUAUCACCUACCUUCGUCUGGCUGCUCGAGUGGAACUACCGUAAGUCUCUUAAGCUGGUACCGUACCUAUCAAAUGCAUAGGCUUCCUAAUUAAUUGUUAUUUCCUAUAAAUACAUAACAUAUAAACUCUGAGUAAGUCGAAGAUUCGUGUCUAGACCAUUGUAUGAAUCCUAACAGCAUUUUCCCUAAAUUGGACGAUUUCCAUUUUGGAAAGUUUCCUAAUUUGGAAAGUUCGCCUUUUUGUAAAGUCUUAUCAUCUAAAAGAAAAUAAUUAUUCCCAAUCAUGUUUAUUAUCUUGACUAUUAUCUUAUUAUACAUAUUUAUAAUUUAUAAUUAUUCAUUAGUAUUGUUAUCGUUAUUAUUAGUGUUAUCGUCCACAUUAUUAUUUACUACUAGGAUUAUUAUCAUUAGUGUUAUUAUUAGUAUUAUUAUCAGCAUUAUUAUUAUUAUUAUUAUUAUUUUAAACAUUUCGUUUAACCAUUUAAAACUUAUCUUACCUUGUCCAAUCUGGCUUAAUACGGCUAAGUGUUUUUAGAUUUCCAUUUAAGUAUCUUAGACGUAAUUAACUAAGCACAAUUUUACAUGACUAACCUUUCAAUUCUAACAAUUAUUUUAAAUUGGGUCCUGAAUUUUAAUACCCACGAUAAACUAUAAUUUAUAAUUUUAAAGUUUAUUUAUUAGACAUUUAUUACAUUUUAUAUUAUAUUUUGGUCCCUGUAUAAUUUGCCAAAUUUCCUCCGCCCUCGGGUUAAACCCAAGGCCAACCAGUUGCCUGACCAUGUCUGGCGACCCUUUGCUUCCAUUGGUUGGCCAAAAAGGCCAACCAUGGCCUUUAUUCAUUGUCGCCAGCAAGUGCUGGUGACAUCCUCUUCAAAUUUUUUUUUUUUUCUUUGCUUCGGUCUUUCGGCCAACCUUUGCAAAUUCUUUCUCUGCCGCCAGAGAUGGCGGCCCCCACUCUUCCCUUUUUGUGUGUGUGGCGUUGCAGAAGCAAUGUCUAGCCAAACAGAGCAGCGGCUUUUUCCCUUUUUUUUUUUUUGUUUUUCCUCCAUCAGAUUUGGGCAACCUAUUUACUCACAGAUUCAAAUCUAACACCCCAUUCCUACGGAUCCACAUAUGAAUCUUCCUAAAAAAUAUACAUAUCUACAUAUAUACAGCAACAAUCCAUAUUCGUAAAAUUCCUAGGACAAUUAAUUCAACUAUUAAAACUUAAAAGAGAAAUUUUGCGUGAAUUCGGGACUUACAGGUUUAGAUGUGUAGUUGUCUGAUCGAUUGACAAUGUCGUCUGCUUCUCCUUCUCUAUUCUUUGAUGGCUCUUGCUCUAGGGAGGCAGACGAAAGAAAGGCAAGGAUGGUGUUAUUUUUCUUUCUAGGGUUUCAAUAAAAUCUUAAACCCUAGUACUACCUACUAGUAGGUGGUUUGGGUAAGAGUUUCAGUUUAUUAGAAACCCCUAUCCCAUCCUACAGUUAUUUUAUUUUAAAAUUUUUUCUUCCUUUUACCUAGUAAUUUUAUCUUUUUAAUUAAUUGAAAAAAUAAAAUAAAAUAAUAAAAUGGGUGCCAAAAAUCGUGGGUUUUACAGAACCCCCAUAGAAGCGGCCAAAGUAGAGAUUUCAUCCCAUAGAGGUCGCCUCCCCACCCGAGUAUGUUUGGCAUAGAGUGCAGAAAAGUCACUUCCAAUGAAGAAGGCAACCCAAUUUGCGCAUGCACCAACUGGUUGGCCAAAAUGGAAAAAGAGCAGGUCAUAAAAUUCUUCCAAAAGAACCAGAUACGUCCCUCCAAGAAUGAAGUAGCCUGGUCAAACUUGAACUUUAAUCUAAAACUAUCUAAUUGAGAUGCCGAAAUAAUAGGCUCAAUUAACACCAAAAGAUGAACAUCAUUGCUACUAAAUAUAUUCAUUAAAUAUCUCGAAGAGUUUGGUUGAGAUACUCCCCGAAUAUUCCACACUAAGACGUUUAACGGAAACGACAUUAAUCCACUGUAACAAAAGAAGCUUUUGAGACAGGGCGUACCUCAUCUUUCAUUGGACCAAGCUCUAUUAGCUGGUCCGUUUAUUAGCUUAAAACCCAAACCAAACAACGACUCACUAAUGACUAACUAAGCGAGACUAUAAGCUCCACACAUUCGGUGAAACUUGAGCUGGAAAUUUCGGCCUUGAAUCUCUUUCUUCCAAACGACUUGACAACCCAUUGAGUGAGGAAUUAGUGAAGAAAUAGCUCCACACUUGGGACUCCUUGCUCACUUCAUCACUCAUAUCUGAAAGUUACAUAACGCUUUACACUCCUGAAUGGUUUACUUGUGAGAAAAUUUGUUGUGCUUUUGUGAUGGUAGGUGGCUUGAGAUUUAGAUUUCUUUUGCAUGAGAUUGAGAUUGAGAUUUAGGUUUCUAAAUCAUGAAAUUUUGCAGGAGUAAAAUGGUUGCUAAGCCCACUGGCCAUCUAUUGUAAUUUGAAGUUGACGGAGCUGGGUUUGGUUUCCUGUAAGUUGAUCCAAUUGACUAUUUGGUGGGAAAUUUUAUCCUAUAAUAAUAACGAAAGAUUGCUUGCCAUUUGCCACUGCAGGGUGGAUUACAUUAGGGGAAAGGAGAACAGAGAAUAGAAAUAUCCGGACCUGGGCACCAAAAAGGGACAAGAGGUUGAAUUGGGUGGAGAAGAAAAAUGUUUUAGGGGUGUAUUAAUAAUUAAGCAUAAUUAAGAAACUGAAUUUGUAAAAUUAAAAAAGGGCUUGUCAGGCCCCUGUGAGUGUGAAACUCACAGCGUCUGACAUCCUAUUGCUGUUUUUAAAUGACAAUUCAUUUUUUUGAUUUUAGCAAAUUCUAUAUUUGUGUCUAUAGUUUUGGAAUAUCGUGUUUUUUAGUCCCUUUUUUUAGGUUAACUCUUAUCUAGUACAGUUAACCUCCACAUAAGCACCCGAUUACUACAAAAAGGUGUUUCUUUAUGGCUGAGACAUUAACAUGACUUCUGGUUUUUUGAGGGAAAAAAAGAAAGAAGACUUCCAGUUCCAUCAAUUGAUAUUUCGUCCAAAUGUUGCAGGAUAUAAGAUUGGUUCCUAGCAGAUUCGCAAGCAAAAUCAUAUUUUACAAUGGUCUAAGAGAUCCGUACAGUAAUGGCGGGUAACAAAUAAUUUAAGAAAAUUCUUUAUUAUCUUCCAUCAAGUUAUAUAUAUAGAGUUUUCCAAUGGUUUUCAUUCUUCAAUUUAAGGGUUCUUGAAGACCUAUAGGACACCGUUCGUGCAAUCUAUACAACUAAUGGUCUCCGUUUAAUUUUGUUACUGCGACCAAUUUUGUAAAUUUACUAAGAAUUGAUAUUCAUAUUUUCUUGAGAAGCAAGUAUAUUUUAUCAUGAAUUUGAUCUAGAAUAGAACUUUUAUCAACCAUAUUGAGGAUAGAUGUGGAUUGAUGCCCAAUACAUACUUUUCUCGUAUUGUUGUGCAAAUCAUGAGUUGUCAAUUUGCAAGGUCUCGUAGCUGGUUAGUCAAGCAAAGGUAGACAUAUACUUGAAGGGUGGACCAAAGCACAUGCAGAUGUCGCUUCAAUAGAAAAACGUAUAAAGAAACUUAACCAGUCAUAGGCUCCAGCUGAUGGUUUAAUCCCUCGCGGAUUCCCUCUGAAUUUAUCCAUUUCCCUUAAUAUAGAGUAGGAAUAGAUAUAAAAUAAAAUUUAUUAUAUAAAAAAAAAAGUCAUAGGCUUUAGCUGGCAUUAGACUGCCAGUGUUCGAAAAAAAAAAAGUAUUGUGAAGACAAAUAUCUUUUUGGGCUCAAAAGUAAGGAAAUAUGGAUGAUUUUCAUUUUCCUUUGAUCUCAAGUGUAGAAGAAAAUAAUCUUAAAUGUCAGUAUCGUCUUUAUUCUGCAUUCCUACAGCGACCGUAUAACUGUGGUACCACAACAUAUGAGUGCAACAUUAACGAAAAUGAUAUACAAAAUGACCAAAUCAAAAAAUUUUCAUGUACAUAUAAUAAAUUGUUACGCACAAAUAUUUCCUAAUCUAAUAAUAGCCUGAUGAUAUUAUUGUUGACCCACUUUUUAAUUCUCUCUGUUUUUUUUUUCCUUGAACAGAAGAAUACCUUCUAUUCUUCCAAGUCACUACACCAAAUGAUUCUAGAAAGAGAAUAAAAGCACGCUUGAUUUUGUGGUCUAGAAUGUAGUUUCUAGUGCCAUUGCUGUGGACCAAGUAUAUCUUCUUAUUUUCACUUUUUUGCUCUAAAGACUUCUAUUGCAGCUAUCAUCAAUGGCAUCAAUCACGUCCAUUGUGCUGGCAUAGUUCAUAGAGAAUGAAUUAUGUCUGCAAGUUCACUAACAAGAAAAGCCCCAAAAAAAAAAAAGAAAAGAGGAAGAGAGGUCUACACUCAAGGAUAAAAACGCGUUAUAUAUCUGAAAAUAAAUUAAAAGUAUACAAUAAGUAGUUAAAUUGAACCAAGGAUUCAAAUGGAGGUAGCAUGAGUUCCAAUGAGCCCAUAGGUCUGGACGUCAAUCUUAUUUUUUCCUGCUUUAUAAAUUCAUUUAGAAAAUUUUUUAAAAAAAAGAAUGAUAAAGAAGUACGCAGUUAAUAAAAAGCCAGAAGCAAUACUAGGUCCAAACACCAAAAAUAUUUACUAAUAUCAGCACAAUAAAUAGAAUUCUUAUUUUCUUAGGUGUCGAUUGGAAUGCAUGCAUGGGUCUGUAUCUGACUGAUGCUUAAGCAUACAGACUAGUAUUUCACUGUCACUCGCGACCGAAAGCACUUAUGAAGGAGAUGCGUAAAUGCGCAGCAUCGAAUCUUCACGCACGCGCGCCUAGUGACUUUGACCAAGUUGCAUGUUACUCUCAGCUUUGCUUGAAGUUUACUAGUAGGCUAUAUCACUUGAAAAAGCCAACCAUAAAGAAAUUAUAAGAUUGUCCAGUAGCUGGGAGAGACUUUUCAAAAUUCUUCCCGCUGUCAAGAGUUUUUAGAAUUUUUUUCGUUAUCAAAUUUAGGGUUUAAAUUCUGGAUCCGGCGGUUAAGGGUGCACUACAAGACAUUUAGAUUUUUUGUGACUUGUCAAAUAGUUGCAAGUCACAAAAAGCUUCUCUUAUGAUAUGAAAUUAAUGAUAGUCACAAAAAGUGUGUUCUUUUAGUCAUAAAUAAUAGGAAUGACAUUGAUUUAUGAGUCACAAUUGAUUUUGUGACUUGUAAAAAGAAUGUCACUAUUUUUUUAUUCAUAGUUCAUCAUGUGACUUGAAAGAUCAAUUGUGAUUAUGGAAAAUGGUGACACUCAUUUACAAGUCACAAGAUUAAUUGUGAUUCGUAAAUAAAUGUCAUUUAUAUUAUUUGUGACUUUAAGUCAUGCAUUUUAUGACUUAAAACCAGGUUAUUGCUACAUGCACCAAUUUCAUGUCAUAAAAAGUAAGUUUUUUGUGACUUGCAUUAAUAUGACAAGUCAUGAAAAGCCAAAUUUCUUGUAGUAGUGGAAAAAUUGUGGGAAGGAGUGGGAGGUUAAAAAAAAACGGAUAAUUUCAGAAACCUCUCCUGAGGUUUCUGAAAAUUUCACUGAACUCCCUUGAGUUUUUCAAUAUUACACUUACCUCCUUUGAUGAUAGACAAUGAGUAUAAUAACCUUCAUAAUUUUUCAAAGGACAAGCCAUUGAUAAAAAAGGGAAAAGAUAAUAGAAAAAAGGAAAAAACAAUUCUUCUUGACCAAACCAUAUGUUGUGGCCAAACUAUUUCAGUCAUAACCAUUAAAUUGUAACUUCUUAUCACUCAAAUAUGCUAAUCAAGGUAGAUGUCUCCUUCCUUCUAUCACUCAAAUAUGCUAUUGCUGUUGAUAAUGAUGGAAGCAAUCAUCACUACCAACAAUCCAAUUAUUCAUAUUAUUGAGUAUAAAAAAGCCACUGGAUUACGGAAAAGUAUAAUUUGAAGACUGUACUAAAAUUAUGAUCCCAAACUUGCACUUUUGUUGAUGUUGUUUGCCUUUUAAAAAAAAUUAUGACUAUUCAUACUAAGGAAAUUUAGAUGAGGGAAAUUUUGGGCAAUCAUAUACUUUUUUAGUCUUACAGCAUCAAGGUGAAACCCAAACCUAUUUCUAGGGGAGGUAUGUGUAAUUUUCAAAACAUGAGGGGAGCUGUUUAAUAUUAGUAGAAACCUUAAGGGAGGUUACUGAAAUUAUCCAAAAAAAAAAAGAAAAUUAUAAGUUUGCCCUUGAGUGGACUGUGGAGAUGGUCCUCCAAUUUUCUGAAGUUGCUAUAGAUUGAUUAUAUUGGGCUUAAAUAAGUUCUGAGUUGGUCAAUUUUUUAAUCGAAUUAAUUUGUAUGAGAAAGAAGAGGAGGAGAGAGUGACCAUGGUCCAUGGUUGCACCAGCGCUCGGAGUGGAGGAGGAGUUGGAAUGGUUGUUGUGUCAUUUCAAGGCACGAAUGUUUCCUCAUACACAAAUUAUGGUCUCCAUCCAUGAACACACGUGUGAAUAUUGAAAAUUGUGUUCAAACUAUACUUUGUCAAGUUAUUAUCUAAGUCGUCUCUAGAAUCUAGACCCGAGAUCUAUACCAAUAAACUAUGAUAACUAAUUAAUGCCGUUACCACAAAAAUUUUAAGUUUAUAGAGAGAUUAUUUGACAACAAUGGAACUCAUUGAAGUUUGAACACCCCAUUUAGUUAACUAAUCAUGGUGAAAACAGCACUCGCUUCUUGUUUUCAGUCAGAAGUUUGUGUUCAAUUUAGUGUUAACCUCUGAAAUUUUUAUUUUGUCCUAAACUCGGGGGAAAGUGUCACAGGCUAAGAAGAGCAAUCAAUCGUUGCCAAAACGUCCAAGAAGAAGAGAGGUUCGCUAAGUGAAUGCAAGGGACCGUGUAUUUGGCUAAGAAAUAACAUGAUGAGCCUUCAAUAAGCUUUCCAUCUCUAACAUUUAUUUUUCUUUCAUAAUCAACGACAUAAUUUUCAUUCUAAUCCCCCAUAGUUAGGGUAGAACACUUUUUUCUUUCAGACUUGCAUAAGUUUCAAUAUUGAGUUAUUUGUUGCUUCAUAUUUGCAAUCUGACCAACUUGUUUGAUUCUUCUGUUUUAAUUUUCACAAAUUAGAUGGAGAACAUUUCAAAAAUUUUCGAUUAAUUUGGUGGUUUUUUCUCAAUUCCAUCAAUCAAUCAAAGUUGAUAACCCAAGGGACUAAAAUAAUUUCCUUCAAAAAAUGAUAGAUCAUACCCGUUUGUUUUUCGUCAAUGAAGUCUUGGACUGGAUAGUGGUGAAACAAGAAAGGAUAAAGUCCAAAGAAUUAAAAGUUCUAAAAUCUCACAAAUCAAUUAAUGUUAAAACUAUCAUUUGUGAGAGAUUUAUAAUCUGUCAGUGUUAAGUCACUGCAACACAUGCAGCUUUAUAUGAAACGGUUUGGGUUUUAAUGAUGAGUGACCAAAGUCAAAAUAGGAAAAUAUGAAUGUUACGAGGGCUGUGAUUUUAAAGGUAAAAUACUACUUUUUACCAUUAAUUUACUCAGUUUCAUCUUUAUUCAUAUAUUUAGACAUUUUUCAUCUUUGAUUUUUGGACACUUUAUGAAUGUUUAAAAUACAAAUUAAGGAUUGGGAGUAUUUUAUCUAUAUUUUAUAAUUACAGUGUCUGUGAUACUGCUAAAUUCCAUCAAAAUAAUCGCUUCAUGUGAUCAUUAGUAGUUGUUGAGUGGGAUAAUAGGAACGUAGAGGAUGUAUAAGAGUGACUAAAUUUCAUUUUGAACCCUUAAAUUAUAUGUACACUCUCAUUAAAAUGACAUGAAUUUCAUACUUUAAGGAAUAAAGUGUUAAAAAUUAAAUUUUUAGGACUAGAGCAAGGGUACACCUAUAGUUUAAGGUUUCAAAGCGAAACUUACCCAUCAUCCAAGAGGACUUUUCCCGAGAGUGUAUCACGUUCUUCUAGAACGCUUUCUACUUUGAAAUUGUAUGAUAUGCUAUUUAACAGCAUUAAUAUAGUGCGCCAGAGGCAGAUAUAUUCCACUGACGCGUGGACUGACUCAAUAUCAUUGUGGUUUCUUUGAUUCUUUCCACAACUACCUCCUUUGACGACUCCAAGAUAAAAACAAAAACAUCUAGAUACAAUUUGUGUUCUUAUACGUUUGAAAUUUGAUCCUCUAGAAAUUACCUUUAUUAGAAAGGUAAUCAUAUUUCUAGAUGAAAACCGAAAUUUCAAAAAGGAAAUAAGCUAUCAUUCCUAUAAGGACUUGGAAGAGUUGAUGUAUAUUUGGAGAGAUGAACUUGAUAUUCAAAGAUGACAAGUUACAAGUUAUCCAUUAACGCAUUAAAAAGUUGCCUACAUCCUUUUUCAUGCCAAAAUAUGUUGCUUUCUACUUGAAAUUUCCUUUGGAGUCCUAAAUCAUAAGAUGAUUAUAUCCACAUCCACACUUUGCAAAUCACUGAAGAGAACAACAAUGGGAAGAUAUAUACAUAAUUUAGGUGACCAAUUGGCCAAGUACUUCUAGCAAAUUUUAUUGAAUAUCACUUUGGCAAAAAUAUUGCACGUCGUUCCCUAAUUGGAUACCUAUAGAAAAAAUAUAAUUACGCCAAUGUUAUGAAACAAUUAAAAGUAUGAAUGUUCCUUUGUAUUCCCAAGAGAUUUAAUUCUUGAUUUAUGAUUACAUUAUGUAUAGAAAUUACAAUCUAUAAAUCUAUUUAUGUAGUGGAGAAACCGUUUCAUAGGUUUCUUCAUAUUCUUGUAGUAGUGGGUGUUUAAUAAGAUUAAUGUACCUUUAAUUUUGUAGUACGUAUAUAUAGAGGUACAUUGACACCCUUUGGGAAGACUUUUAUAUUUUGUUGGAAUACAAGAAUAUCAUUCUCCAUUGCUCUACUUUUCCUCUAAUAUCUUCAUUCAUACUAUAAUAGUUUAUUAGUUUUACAACACGUCAUCAGCACGAGUCUCUAUUUUUGAGCAAAAGGUGAAAACGGAGCCUCUACCUUGAGUAAAAGUGAAACAAGAGAUUCUGCCGUAUUUUUUCAGCAACUUCUGUCUGCUUAUUGAGGUAAAUUUUUUAUACAUAAAUUUAUUUCAAUUUCUUAUGACUAACAUUUGAAUGAUCGAAAAAAUACAAGUGCCUAUUGCUGAGCAAUCAUUAAACACAAAUAUAUACUGUUUGACAUUUUUGAGGUAAUAUUUCUCCUUUUAAUUCUACUUAUUUAUCUUUAGAAUUAUUUGUUAUAAAUACUUAUAUUCUAAUGCAUUGAGUUUUGGAGAUGCUAUUAUAGAAAAUUAAUUAUAUUUGAGGAUCUACUUGUCCUUUGAAAUACUUAAAGAAAAAGAUUCGACCACUUGAAGAUGGUCGUUCUUUAACGAAAAUAUUUGGCCACCAGAAGAUGGUCAUUAUUUCAAAAGCUUGGUAUGAUAAAUUUACCUAUGGUUACAAGAACAUAAUUAUGCAAUUUUCAAAAUUACUUUUCAGUUAAAAUUGUGUCGAGAAAAUUUUGCUCAUAAGAUAUAUUGAAAAUGAUAUUCUCUACAAUUGAUUUCUCAAAUAUGCUCUUGUAGUAGCAAUAUUGAGAGAAAAUUUGAGAAGUAUUCUGUACUUAUUGUAUGCUAGUUCUAGUCAAUUCUCAGAAGUGAAUUUGACUAAAUUUUAAUUUACUAGUUAUGAUUGUUGCCAUGACUAUGAUUUUGGUAAAUAUAUAUUUUACCAUGACAAGAGAAAAAGUUACCACUUGAAGUGGGAUAAUAAUGAUAAGGACAAGAAAAUAAAGGUCCUAAAGAUAAAUGUCCCGAAGUACAUUUGACGAAUCAAAAUUAUAAUAGCAUUUUCACAUGGCCAAUUUCUUUAAACGCCCUGAAGGUGUAUGAUGAUUGAUUUAAUUUAUGAUAGUAAUUGACUUUUCUUCCUGAAGAAAAAAUAGAUGUUAAAUAUUUGGGAUCAAAGGAUUAUGGUGAUGAUAUUUGUCCCAUAAGAAUUAUGGUUAUAAUGAUAUGUGUCUCAUUAAUAAGUACUACUAUGUACACUAUUUUACAACAAAAGAGUAGUGCUUAAGUGAUUGAAAGUUCCGGAAGAACCACUGCUAUAUUUCUCCUUGUAGGAGAAAAGUUUAUCAUAAAUAAAACACUACUUUUUACCAUGUCUCGAAAGAAUUAUUGAAUUUGAAUAUCCGUCGAAAUGGAUAUCAAAUUGAGAUACUAAAUGAGACAAUAAUAGAGAUCACGUUUAGAAAUCAAGUGAGAUAAAGGUUAAUUAUAUCAUAAUAACCAUUUGAGAGAGAAAUGGUUAUCGAUAUAGUUGUCUUCAUUCUCAUUUGAUUUAUAAUCAUCACCUGCAGUAAACCAGAAGUUUACUAAUCCCAACGGAUAUAUGAUUUGGCAAAAGUGAGAAUAUUUGAGAACCGACAAGUAUUUAUACAUACCCUCUUUAUAUUAUAUAUGGCUCCAAAAGAAAUUUAAAAUUUAUGUCGGGUAUGAAUCACCUUUUACGAUUAAAUAUCGUAAAAUAUUGAUAGGUGAUCUAUUGAAUAAUUUAUUUAUUCUGAUGAGCUACGAUUCCCGAUAUUAGGGGGAGGAAAAAAUCAAUCGAAAGGAAAUCACCUGAAAAAUUAGAUUUCCUCGAUCCUUAUACAAAAUAAUAUGAACUAAAAGUUCAAAAAAUUCUUCAUUUGUAGAUAGUUAUAUUUAUCGACUUCAAAAGAGUAAUUAAAUCAAUUAUUCCUGUAGGAAAUACUCUGGCUAAGAUUGAUGUCCCUGAAGGACAUGUACAAGUGCUACAAAUAAAUUUAAGGCCGGCCUACCUAAAUAAGGUAUAAAUUGAUUCCAAAUAUCUCCGGAGAUUAAUAAAUGUUAUGACAAAAUUAAACUUUUGAAAAGGUCGCUCCUGAAGAGCUAACUCUUGAAGAGUUUACUCCUGAAAAAAAAUCAUAAAAAAUUUAAUUGGAGCCUAAUGAAAUGUAGCAUUUGAUAUUAUAGAAGUUGAUGAUAAUCACGAAUUUAGAUCAGUUGAUGAAUGUCGGUAUAUAAAUGAUUGGCUAAAAUGAAAAGAUGUCAUCCAAUCUGAAUUAGACUCACUGGUUAAAAGAAAAGUUUUUGGAUUUGUAGUCCAAACACCUAAAUGAGUAAAGCUAGUAGCUUAAGGUCACAAAGGCCUGAAUUUAAUUAUGAUGGAACGUAUUCACCCUUAGUGGAUGCUGUUACAUUUAGAUAUCUUAUGAGUUUUGCAGUACAUGAAAAAUUAAAUAUGCGUCUAAUGGACGUUGUUACUACAUAUUUAUAUGAAAAUAUUGAAAAUGAUAUUUAUAUGAGAAUUCUCGAAGGAUUCAACAUGCCUGAAGCAUGCAAAUCAAAUCCUAACGAUAUUUAUUCUAUUAAAUUACAAAAAUCUUUGUAUGGCCUCAAACAAUCUGGACGUUUGUGGUAUAAUCGCCUCAAUGAACGUCUAACUAAAGAAGAUUAUACCAAUGAUCCAAUAUGUCCAUGUGUUUUUAUCAAGAAAAAUGGAUCAAAUUUUGUGAUAAUUGCUGUAUAUGUUGAUAUUCUAAAUUUGAUUGGAACUCCUGAAGAGAUUCAAAAUAAUGUUGAAUAUUUGAAGAAAGAAUUUGAGAUCAAAGAUUUUGGAAAAACAAAAUUUUGCCUUGGUUUACAAAUUGAGUAUUUGAAAAGUGAAUUUUUUGUCCACCAAACUGCUUAUACCCGGAAGGUAUUAAAGCGGUUUUAUAUGGAUAAGGCACAUAUAUUAAGUACUCCAAUGGUUGUCAGAUCAUUAGAUCCUAAUAAGGAUCCUUUUAGAUCGCGAGAGGAAAAUGAAGAGAUACGUGGUCCUGAAGUAUCAUAUCUCAGUGCAAUUGGCGAAAAAUAUUUGGAAUGCGACAAUUAAAAGAUCUCAAAUGAUAUUUGCAUCAGGAGGAGAAAUUAAUAUACAAGAAUAGUGUACUCUUUUUCCUUCAUUAGGAUUUUUGUCCCGAUGAAUUUUUCCCUAGUGAGGUUUUAACGAGGCAUAUUCUUUGUGUAAUGGACAUCCAAGGGGGAGUGUUAUGAAACAAUUAAAAGUAUGGAUGUCCCUUUGUAUUCCCAAGAGGAUUAAUUCUCGAUUUAUGACUACAUUAUGUAUAGAAAUUACAAUCCAUAAAUCUAUUCAUGUAGUGGAGAAACCAUUUCAUAGGUUUUUUCAUAUUCUUGUAGUAGUGGGUGUUUAAUAAGAUUAAUGUACAUUUAAUCUUGUAAUACCUAUAUAUAGAGGUAUAUUGACACCCUUUGAGAAGACUUUUGUAUUUUGUUGGAAUACAAGAAUAUCAUUCUCCAUUGCACUACUUUUCCUCUAAUAUCUUCAUUCAUACUAUAAUAGUUUAUUAGUUUUACAACACGUCAUCAGCGCGAGUCUAUAUUUUUGAGCAAAAGGUGAAAACGGAGCCUCUACCUUGAGUAAAAGUGAAAUAAGAGAUUAUACCCGUAUUUUUUCGGCAACUUCUGUUUACUUAUUGAGGUAAAUUUUUGACACAUAAAUUUAUUUCAAUUUCUUACGGCUAACAUUUGAAUGAUCGAAAAAAUGCAAGUGCCUAUUGAUGAGCAAUCAUUAAACACAAAUAUAUAUUGUUUGACAUUUUUGAGGUAAUAUUUCUCCUUUUAAUUAUACUUAUUUAUCUUUAGAAUUAUUUGUUAUAAAUACUUAUAUUCUGAUGCAUUGAGUUUUGGAGAUGCUAUUAUAGAAAAUUAAUUAUAUUUGAGGAUCUACUUGUCCUUUAAAAUACUUAAAGAAAAAGAUUCGACCACCUGAAGAUGGUCGUUCUUUAACGAAAAUAUUUGGCCACCAGAAGAUGGUCAUUAUUUCAAAAGUUUGGUAUGAUAAAUUUAUCUGUGGCUACAAGAACAUAAUUAUGCAAUUUUCAAAAUUACUUCUCAGUUGAAAUUGUGUCGAGAAAAUUUUACUCAUAAGAUAUAUUGAAAAUGAUAUUCUCCACAAUUGAUUUCUCAAAUAUGCUCUUGUAGUAGCAAUAUUGAGAGAAAAUUUGAGAAGUAUUCUGUACUUAUUGUAUGCUAGUUCUAGUCCAUUCCCAGAAGUGAAUGUGACCAAAUUUCAAUUUACUAGUUAUAAUUGUUGCCAUGACUAUGAUUUUGGUAAAUAUAUAUUUUAUCAUGACAAGAGAAAAAGUUACCACUUGAAGUGGGAUAAUAAUGAUAAGAACAAGAAAAUAAAGGUCCUAAAGAUAAAUGUCCCGAAGUACAUUUGACGAAUCAAAAUUAUAAUAACAUUUUCACAUGGCCAAUUUCUUUAAACGCCCUGAAGGUGUAUGAUGAUUGAUUUAAUUUAUGAUAGUAAUUGACUUUUCUUCCUGAAGAAAAAAUGGAUGUUAAAUAUUUGGGAUCAAAGGAUUAUGGUGAUGAUAUUUGUCCCAUAAGAAUUAUGGUUAUAAUGAUAUGUGUCUCAUUAAUAAGUGAUACUAUAUACACUAUUUUACAACAAAAGAGUAGUGCUUAAGUGAUUGAAAGCUCCGGAAGAACCACUGCUAUAUUUCUCCUUGUAGGAGAAAAGUUUAUCAUAAAUAAAACACUACUUUUUACCAUGUCUUGAAAGAAUUAUUGAAUUUGAAUAUCCGUCGAAAUGGAUAUUAAAUUGAGAUACUAAAUGAGACAAUAAUAGAGAUCACGUUUAGAAAUCAAGUGAGAUAAAGGUUAAUUAUAUCAUAAUAACCAUUUGAGAGAGAAAUGGUUAUCGAUAUAGUUGUCUUCAUUCUCAUUUGAUUUAUAAUCCUCACCUGCAGUAAACCAGAAGUUUACUGAUUCCAACGGAUAUAUGAUUUGGCAAAAGUGAGAAUAUUUGAGAGCCGACAAGUAUUUAUACAUACCCUCUUUAUAUUAUAUAUGGCUCCAAAAGAAAUUUAAAAUUUAUGUCGGGUAUGAAUCACCUUUUACGAUUAAAUAUCGUAAAAUAUUGAUAGGUGGUCUAUUGAAUGAUUUAUUUAUUCUGAUGAGUUACGAUUCCCGACAUUAGGGGGAGGAAAAAAUCAAUCAAAAGGAAAUCACCUGAAAAAUUAGAUUUCCUCGAUCCUUAUACAAAAUAAUAUGAAUUAAAAGUUCAAAAAAUUCUUCAUUUGUAGAUAGUUAUAUUUAUUGACUUCAAAAGAGUCAUUAAAUCAAUUAUUCCUGCAGGAAAUACUCUGGCUAAGAUUGAUGUCCCUGAAGGACAUAUACAAGUGCUACAAAUAAAUUUAAGGCCGGCCUACCUAAAUAAGGUAUAAAUUGAUUUCAAAUAUCUCCGGAGAUUAAUAAAUGUCAUGACAAAAUUAACCUUUUGAAAAGGUCGCUCCUGAAGAGCUAACUUUUGAAGAGUUUACUCCUGAAAAAAAAUCAUAAAAAAUGUAAUUGGAACCUAAUGAAAUGUAGCAUUUGAUAUUAUAGAAGUUGAUGAUAAUCAUGAAUUUAGAUCGGUUGAUGAAUGUCGGUAUAUAAAUGAUUGGCUAAAAUGAAAAGAUGUCAUCCAAUCUGAAUUAGACUCACUGGUUAAAAGAAAAGUUUUUGGAUUUGUAGUCCAAACACCUAAAUGAGUAAAGCUAGUAGCUUAAGGUCACAAAGGCCUGAAUUUAAUUAUGAUGAAACGUAUUCACCCUUAGUGGAUGUUGUUAUAUUUAGAUAUCUUAUGAGUUUUGUAGUACAUGAAAAAUUAAAUAUGCGUCUAAUGGACGUUGUUACUGCAUAUUUACAUGAAAAUCUUGAAAAUGAUAUUUAUGUGAGAAUCCUCGAAGGAUUCAACAUGCCUGAAGCAUGCAAAUCAAAUCCUAACGAUAUUUAUUCUAUUAAAUUACAAAGAUCUUUGUAUGGUCUCAAACAAUUUGGACGUAUGUGGUAUAACCGCCUCAAUGAACGUCUAACUAAAGAAGGUUAUACCAAUGAUCCAAUAUGUCCAUGUGUUUUUAUCAAGAAAAAUGGAUCAAAUUUUGUGAUAAUUGCUGUAUAUGUUGAUGAUCUAAAUUUGAUUGAAACUCCUGAAGAGAUUCAAAAUAGUGUUGAAUAUUUGAAGAAAGAAUUUGAGAUCAAAGAUUUUGGAAAAACAAAAUUUUGCCUUGGUUUACAAAUUGAGCAUUUGAAAAGUGAAUUUUUUGUCCACCAAACUGCUUAUACCCGGAAGGUAUUAAAGCGGCUUUAUAUGGAUAAGGCACAUAUAUUAAGUACUCCAAUGAUUGUCAGAUCAUUACAUCCUAAUAAAGAUCUUUUUAGACCGCGAGAGGAAAAUGAAGAGAUACUUGGUCCUGAAGUACCAUAUCUCAGUGCAAUUGGCGAAAAAUAUUUGGAAUGCGACGAUUAAAAGAUCUCAAAUGAUAUUUGCAUCAGGAGGAGAAAUUAAUAUACAAGAAUAGUGUACUCUUUUUCCUUCACUAGGGUUUUUGUCCCGAUGGAUUUUUCCCUAGUAAGGUUUUAACGAGGCAUAUUCUUUGUGUAAUGGAUAUCCAAGGGGGAGUGUUAUGAAACAAUUAAAAGUAUGGAUGUCCCUUUGUAUUUCCAAGAGGAUUAAUUCUUGAUUUAUGACUACAUUAUGUAUAUAAAUUACAAUUCAUAAAUCUAUUCAUGUAGUGGAGAAACCAUUUCAUAAGUUUCUUCAUAUUCUUGUAGUAGUGGUUGUUUAAUAAGAUUAAUGUACCUUUAAUCUUGUAGUACCUAUAUAUAGAGGUAUAUUGACACCCUUUGGGAAGACUUUUGUAUUUUGUUGGAAUACAAGAAUAUCAUUCUCCAUUACCCUACUUUUCCUCUAAUAUCUUCAUUCAUACUAUAAUAGUUUAUUAGUUUUACAACAGCCAAAAUUUUUUUUUAAAAAAGCAUAGAAAUGACAAAAAUCAAAAUGUGAUAAUUGUUCAACUUUAAGAACCAAAAUAACUUUGUUUCAUGGCACGGUGGAUUGAGAGUUUGCUGCUAUAACACAAAGGGAUAAUUUUAGAAACCUCAAAGUUUUUAUCAAUUUCAUCAAAUUACCUUGAGAUUUAAAAAAUUAUACCAACCUCCCUUGAUUUGAUAGUUUUAGUAGCUAACCCUUAAAAUAACAUUAGAUAGUUUUAGCAACUAAACCUCAAAAUAGCAUUAAUUGGUCCAACAUUUAGAUAAAUGCCCUAAUGUAAUGAAGUUUAAUUUAAUUGCUUUCCUAAACAAUUGUAACCUAAUUUAGCACAAAUAUAGGGAGUGGAAGCCAAGAUUUUAAUACAUAUACUUAUUGUUUGAUAAGCAAAUAUUCUAUCACACUAUGAUAGAGUAUUUUUAAAAAUGCUUUAUUGGGGAUUUAGAUUUUUAAGAUGGAAAAGAAAGUGUUGCCAUCAUAGUUUUAGAUUUUGUGAAUUUUUAGGAGUAGUGGAAUUACUAUUAUUUGGUAGUGGUUUUGAAUAGUUUCUUUUUGAGUUAUUGUUGAUUUUGAUACUUCAAAAAAAAAAAAUCAAGGAAAACACAGAAUGAUAUUCAAAGUUGAUUUGUCAAAAAUAGCCACUAGUUUGAUAUUGGUUACAAUAGAGGCUAUGUGCAAUGUUGAUCAUUCCAUGGUUUUACAGGAGGAAUAACAAGGAAAAAGAAAAGGGAAAAAUAGUUUUAAAACUCAUUGUUUGGGCAAGCAUACCAAACAAGGAAGUUUCAUUAAAAUAUUAAACAUAGUAUUGUGAUUUUAAAUGGACAAUGAAGGUAGGUGUAAUUUUUGAACCUCAAGAUUAUUUAGCGAAAUUGCAAAGAUCUCAGGAGAGGAUUCUGAAAUUAUGCCUAAUAAAAAAUAUUUGGUUAGAGCCACAAUUUUUUUCCCUUGUUUUGAUCUUUAGUCCGACUAGACUAAUGUUGCCAUAUCCAUAAUUGACGAAGUAUUUCAAUCAUGAGGGAUUUCGUAGAAAUUAAACAGUAUAUAAGAGUACAAAUUCAAGAAUAUAAAGUCGUAUGUUUUUUUUAAUCAAAAAAAAAUAUUAUUAAGGGAAAAACAAGGUUACAAACGCCAAUGCUCACAAACUAUCACUCCCUCACAACACGGCGGAGGGAAGGCACUCCAAGCCUAUCCAGAAAUAGAGCUCCUCGCGCUAAUCGGGGCAAAUCCGAAACAACCAUAUAGAUGUCGUCCCGAGCCAACUGGCAACCCGUGUUAGCCAAUGCAUCCGCUACCUGAUUCGCCUGAUGGUAACAGUGAAGAAUCCGAGGCAAGUAAGAUGCAAACCCCAACAACUGCUGCACCUCUGUGUGAAUGCCCCAUGGACAAUGUACUAAUCGUUUCAAAAUAUGGACUAAUACCAACGAGUCCAGCUCCACCUCCAAGGGACCGAACCCCCUCUGGAGACACAACUUGACCCCAAACAGCAGGGCGCGGGCCUCAGCCUGCAUGCUCGAAGCCAAGCCGAAGCUACACGAAAAUGCCAACACCAUCCUCCCCCCCUCAUCACGAAGUACCCCCUCCUCCACUCAAGCCAGGGUUACCCUUAGAACAACCGUCCGUGUUAAGCUUUAGACUUCCGUGGACAGGACGCACCCAUCUAACCAACCUAUGGGAAAACACCGUUUUCCAUGUCGAUAUGGCCAAAUAGAACUGAUCCCACGACCAUGACGGAACCUGGCAGUCCGGAAAUUGAAUCCUGAACCACUGAAUCAUCUCUGAAAAGAUUAAUCGACAUACCUGUGCCCCCACAAACCUCUUACCCUCGUACUUCAUCUCGUUACGAGCCUUCCAAAGAUGUCAGCAUAUCAACAAAGGGACAACCUGAUGUAUGAACCUCAAAGGCUUACUCCGUUGCCGAACCUCCUACCAGGCUGCCAUACAUACGCGAAAUGAAGACCCUGACCAACCUACCCCAACCGGAGCCCCGAAGAACCUCCAAACAUACUGUGCCAUAACCCCAGCACCAAACACAUGCUCUGUAGCCUCAAUCUUAGGAGAUGGGCAGCACGAACAACGAGAGGGUCCAUGUAUCCCCAACCUCCAUAACGAACAAUCCAAGGGGAGUCGGUCCCGUAAUAGCCGCAAAAGGAAAAACGAAACCCUCAGAGGCACCCCUGGAUGCCAAAUACGAUUAAAUAGUGGCGAAGACCCAGAAUGAUGCUGGAUCAAGCUAAAAGCCGUCUUGAGCGUAAAACAACCCGAUGGCUCCAGUUGCCAAAUCAUUAGGUCAGGAAGCGACCCUUUAGGUGGGAGAAUUCGGCCAAUCUCCGCAACAAUACCCGGAGGUACCCAUUGUGAAAUUCUGCCAAUGUCCCAGGCACCGUUUUGCACAAAGUCCGCCACCUUGUGGUCCGACACGCUAUCCAGCCGGGCUGCCAGUCCUCCAGUUCCUAGCCAAUUGUCAAACCAAAAAUUAGAGCUCUCGGACCGAACGAUCCAUCCAAUGUGCCUCUCCGCCAGAACUCGGACUUUCACCAUCCUUCUCCAUCCCUCUGACCCUUUCUCAGAAAAUACCAGGUUGGGGUGCGCCAUGCGGCAAAACUUUGCAUGCAUAAAUGAGGCCCACAAGGAUGACCUGGAACGAAAAUUCCACCAUAACUUGAUGGAGAAGGCCCUGUAAAUAUCCUCUAGAAGACGGAAGCCAACCCCCCCUUCUUCACGCGAACACACAAAUCCUUCCACUGAAUCCAAUGGUGUUUGGGACCUUCCUUAGUCAACCCCCACAGGAAAUUAGAAAACAUACCUUCAAGCUCCUUGAAAACAGAUUUGGGGGGCGAAGCCGCCAUCAACAUGUAUGUCGGCAUAGCAGAGAGGACAUGUUUCAACAACACAAUCCUCCCACCAUGCGACAACAACCUAUUCUGCCAGGACAGCAAUCGCAGGAGGACAGUUUGACACAUACCCCCAAAAAAAUCUUUCUUUCUCCGCCCACAAUAAAGAGGAAAACCAAGGUAUUUAAUCUGAAAUGUUUUAUAUGAGAACCCCGUGACCCUCUGAAUUCCCAAUCGCUUGGAAGAAGAGGCCUUCGGGUGCACCAAAAAACAGCUCUUCCUCGCAUUAAUCCUUUGCCCGGAAACCGCCUCAUACUCAGAUAGCACCUGCUUCACUAACCUCAAAGACUUCACUGAGGCACUGGAGAAGACCAAAACAUCAUCCGCGUAACCCAAAUGAGACACUAGAGGACAACCCCUGGGGAUACGGAACCCCUGAAAACCUCAAUGACUCUGCAACUUAUUCAGCGACCUCGACAACACCUCAGCCCCAAUGAUAAACAGCGCAGGAGAAAGGGGGUCCCCUUGACGAAGCCCCUGGGAAGAUUUAAAGAAGCCAUAUGAUGCCCCAUUUACAACAACAGAGAACCAGACAUUUGAAAUUAACCUCCAAACCAUAUCUAUCCACUGUUCUCCAAAUCCAAACGCUGUGAAUAUAAAGUCGUAUGUGAAGAAAAAUCAAGUAAUGAUAAAAAGAGGGGGAUAGGCGAUCGUAUUCUAAUGUCUCCAUCUUGACUUGGCUCAGUCAAAUGUGCCUAAGAAAUGGUAACAAAUUAAUUUCACCAGCUGUUGAUUUUCCGAAUUAGCAUGAGUACAUAGGGGCUGGAAAUGUGGUCAGGCAGUGGCGUGAUCGCAUCAAAUUAAUAAUCACAUCAACUUGAAUUUAUAGACCUAAUAAAACCAAAAUUAACGAUGAAAAUGAUGUGCUAUAAGCAUAUAUCUCUAUAUAAAUCAACAAGUUGGAACUUGGGAACAUCGUAAACUGAGAAAAGUACACAAAAAAUCAGAACUCUACCAAGAAACUCAAUUCAUUGGCCAUGGAUUUUCUUGGCAGGCUAUUAUCUCAAUUGCUGCCUGUCCCUCUUCUUUUCCUAUGCUUCUCAACUUCCAUUUCAUCAGCUGUAGAUCACCCCCACAAAAUCCCAAGGCUCAGUCCAAUACGGAGAACAAAUCUUCGAGACCCUGACGAUACUCUAACUAAAGCUUCUCUUUCAGAAGAUUUCCAAUCAUACUUUUAUGAACAGACACUAGACCACUUCAAUUAUAAUCCACAAAGCUAUACCAAAUUCAACCAAAGUUAUGUGAUCAAUUCAAAAUUCUGGGGUGGUGCCAAGUCGAACUCUCCAAUCUUGGCAUAUCUUGGCGCCGAAGCUCCAUUGGCUGGAGAUAUAGAGGCUAUUGGUUUUCUUACUGAUAAUGCCCCUCGGUUUAAAGCUCUCCUUGUCUACAUAGAGGUACAGUACUAUCAUAACAUCGUUUAUUCUUCUUUCUUGAUUUAUACUCUAUACUUAACAAACUUGUAAAUACUAAAUGUAUUCCGGGGGUCUUAAUUUUCUUUUGCAGCAUAGGUUUUAUGGAAAAUCUAUACCACUUGGAUCAAUGGAAAAAGUGAUGAAAAGUAAAACCGUUCGUGGUUAUUUCAACUCGGCUCAAGCUUUAGCUGAUUACGCAGAAGUUUUAUUGCAUGUAAAACAUAAAUUUUCUGCUCAAAAUUCUCCAAUUAUCGUUGUUGGUGGAUCAUACGGAGGAAGUAUGUACUUUUCCAUGUUGUUUUUUCUUUAUCCUAUAUUUUUAUUCAUGCAUUUUUUUUUCCUUUCGGUGGUGAUGUAUCUAAAUAUUUCAACUUGGCAGUGCUAGCUUCGUGGUUUCGCCUCAAAUAUCCUCAUAUUGCACUUGGUGCUUUGGCAUCAUCAGCUCCCGUUCUUUACUUUGAUGACAUCACUCCCCAAAAUGGUUAUUAUUCCACUGUGACCAAGGACUUUAAAGUAAUGAAAGAGCUGUUAAUGGUUUCAUGUUUUUGAAUCAUUACUGGAAUUAUUAUAAGUUAAAGAGUUCUGAGAAUAUUUUUGUUAUGUUAAAUUACAGGAGGAGAGUGAGCACUGUUACCAAACUAUACGACAAUCAUGGUCUGAGAUUGACAAAGUUGCUUCUAAACCAAAUGGUCUCUCCAUUCUCAGCAAAAGAUUCAAGACUUGCACGUAAUAAUUCUUCUCUCUCCCUUUGCUUUCGGUCAUUUGACCAAUCAAGAUGUUCUGAUAUUUAGUGUGUAUAGUAGAAACAGUCAAGUCCAUACACUAGUCUUUUUUUUUUUUAACGUCAAAUCAAUAUGCUAGUCUUUUUUUUUUUUAAGUCAAGUCAAUAUACUAGUCAUUAUCAUAUAUGAACUAUUAAUUUGCUUUAUUCGUGAACAUUUAUGUAUUAAUAAUGACUUCCGAUGAUUCCAAAGAAACUUCUCACGCGUGUAUUAAUUAUUUUAGUCCAAGUAAUCACCUCACCAGCUUGAAGUUGACAUUAUAUCUGUCGAUAGUUUGGUAAUUUGGUCCCCAGUUAAGAGCCAUUUUCUUAGGUUAUAUGUAUGUAUAAGUUGUCUAAUUAAUUCUAUAUUUUUUAUUUUCUUUUCUCUUUUGAGUGGUAGAGCUAACACGAUUUUAAGACUCAUUAAAGCAGAUUACUUAAACUUUAAUCUUUUGCACAUGUACAUUAUUUUAUGUACCCAUCCCUACAUAUAUAGGAUCAAACUAGUAAAACACAACUAAUAGUGAAUUAUCUUUCCUUUUAAUUAUUUCAGGCCUUUGAAUAGUUCGUCUCAGCUUAAGGAUUACUUGGAUUCCAUGUUCUCAUCGGCUGCUCAGUACAACUCACCGCCUAAGUAUCCCGUCACUGAGGUGUGUAGUGGAAUAGACAAAGCACCCAAAGGAACUGAUAUUCUUGGCCGCACUUUUGCCGGUGUUGUUUCUUACAAGAAAGAUGAGUCAUGCUAUGAUAUGUUGGAAUAUGCCAGGUCCACUGAAACAAAUAUCGGAUGGCAAUGGCAAGUAAGACCCCUUUGGAUUACUAUUUUUUUGAUAGAUAAAUAUAUUAUACCGAUUUAAUAUAUGUGAGAUAAACAGAUAAUUAAAAAAUAUUUUUACCAAAAUGUCAAUUUUUUUUUCAAAAAAUAACAAUCCAAAUCUCUAAUCUGUCUCUUGUUUCCCUUAUUAUUAUUAUUUGCACUAAGCCAGGACCUGAUUAAUGAUGUUAGGAAGAUAAUUAAUUGUUGUACUUGAGUUUGAAAUAAAUUUCAAUUGAAAAGGGCUUCUUUUUUUUUUUUUUUCAAUAGACUUGUAGCGAGAUGGUGAUGCCUAUUGGGUGCGGCAGCAAUGAUACGAUGUUCCCACCAUCACCUUUCAACCUACCGGAUUUCAUUAAGAACUGCAAAAGUUCAUAUGGGGUCUUACCUCGACCUCAUUGGAUCACAACUUAUUAUGGAGGCCAUGUAUGUUUUCUUGGUUGUUUUCUUUAUCAUGUCUUCAUAUUUUUCCAAAUAGAAACUUCUAACUUAGUCUUUGAUAUCAUUUUCACUUUUCCAUUGUUGAUCCUCAUAUGUAAAUCCAACAAAUGUAGGACAUGAAAUUGGUUUUCCAAAGAUUUGGAAGCAAUAUCAUAUUCUCCAAUGGCUUGAAGGAUCCUUAUAGUAGUGGCGGGUAAUUGAAUAAGACAUUUUUCCUUUUCCUUCUUUAUUGAUUCUGUGUGCUUAUUAUAUUGAAAUUACUACUUAUGGCUUCUUAAGCUAAUUAAUCAUUAAACAUCUUAAUCGCAGAGUACGAGAGAACUUAUCCAGCAGCCUUCUUGCUAUUUAUACAGUUAAAGGUUCGUUUUUUAAGCUCUUUCCAUUCUAAGUAAACUCAAUUCGAUCCUCUAUUUCCUUUUGCAUCUUCUCAAGUAGUCUUCUUAAUUGGAAAGAUUAUUUCCCUCACAAACAUAACCAAAUAAGUGCUAAUGACACUAAAAAAUACGAGUCACAUUUCUUUGUGUCUGUAGUAUGUGGGCUUCCGUUAAAUGAUUUGUGAUGGCCAUUUCGAAAUCAUUUUUUUUGCAGGAUCUCAUUGCUUGGACAUACUGGCAGCAAAAGAAAGUGAUCCGUCCUGGUUGGUUGCUCAAAGGAAAUUGGAGGUUGAGAUCAUUGAAGGAUGGAUCAAACAGUAUUAUGCUGAUGUUCAUUCCAUUGGAAAACAAAGAUAUGCUUAAGUCUUUGCUUUUUCUGGAAUUAAAACAAACAGAAGAAGGGGAAGUUAGAAGCAUUAUUAUUGACCAAGUGCCGCACUCUUUUCUUUCUUCUUAUUUAAGGUUCCAAAUGAUCCCCUGUAACAUCAUGAUUCAUAAAUUUUAAAAAUGGAAUCCAACAUCUUAGUGCUCCCAACAACGUAAGUUUUACGUGACUUAUACAUCAGAUAGUAGAAUCUAUCUCUGUGUUUCUAAGGUUCCAAAUGAUCCUCUCGUAACAUCAAGGCUUCAUGUAACAAUAGAUCAAACUUGACAAAUCAAAUCACAAAUCGAUCUUCCUCAUGCGGAAAAAGGUUGCCAGGAGGUGACAUAUAGGUUCUUCAGUCAAUUUGAUCACCUUCUUUGUAGAAGAACUAGAAAAUGUUUAGAGUAUUUAUAUAUGUUGGUGUAUUUUAAUAAAAUCUUAAUUUUUUCCUUGACCAAAUCUUUACGAGUUAUAAUAAUUUAUUUGGAAGUUAUUUGAAUUAUAAUUGUGGGAGUUUCAUUACAAGGAGUUAUAAUAAUUUAUUUGGGAGUUGGAUUUAUAAUCCAUUCAAAUGUGGAUUAAUUUUUUAGGUUACAAAUUCUACUAAUUGACUACAAUUUAAUAUAGAAAAACCGUUACACAUUUUCAACCCCUUUUUCUUAAGGUUUUGUAGCUUAUAAAUAGUGAAAUUCUUUGGAGAAUUUAUACAUACACAUCUCUCAACAAAAAAUCAUUCUAAAUACUAUUUUCUUCACACUUUUUUCUUUCUCCCUCAUUCUAUUUUCUUUGGGCAAAGUAAGAUAUUGGAACGCUUCUGCUUCUCUUGGUUGUGCAGAUCAAAGGGAAGCAACAACUAUAGAGUUGGGCUGUUGUAUCCUGGAGGCGGCGCGCUAGACCUUCUGCAUCGGUUUAAAAAAUACCGUAAGGGCGCGUAUCGUCUUAAAGAGAGCGUUUAACGCGCCUCAACCCUACCGAACUUUUUAGUAGCUGUCAAUUCAAGGUAGUCGGAUUAAAGAUCAGAAGCUGUUCAUCCAAUAAUUUUAAGAUCUAGUUCGCAUAUCAACCCAUGCCAAAAUAACUUUGAUGGUACAAAUUAUUUGCAUUUAUUAAUGCAAUAUUGAGGUAUGAGAUUUUGUGAAUUUCUUUGUUAAAUUUUUACCAAAGAAAUUACUAUUACUUAUAUGAUUAAUUUGGUCUAGAAUGAACAAUUUUAAGAUGAUAAGCCUCUCGUUGCAUAUUUUGCUUCUAAAUAAUCAAAUCAUAAAACUAACAUAAUCCCGACAAUGAGAAUUUUAAAUGGUGCAUAACAUAAUCGGGACAAGCUUUAAUAAACAAGAUAUUUCAUGUGAAUGGUCAUAAUUAUAGACUCAGACUAGAAAGGAUAAUAUCCAUUGAUUUUAUGUACUUUGGAGUCUGGUAUCAAUAUUGUGUACGCGCCUAUAAAUAAUUCGAAAUAUAUGCCCAUUCUACUUGCUCCUAUUUUUUUUAAAAAAAAAACUUUAUAUUCAAAGUUUUUGAACUGGUUGUGAAAUUGCUAAGUAAUUUUAGAUGUGUGCUGUUUAUCUAUGCACAUGAAAUCUAGUGAUGAGGUUUUAAGAAUAAGUAAUUGACUAAAGAAUGCAAUGCAUUUUAUAAUUGCCCAAUUGCAUUCAAAUUUAAAAGUUUAUUACUUUAAUGUGUACGAUCUCAUAGUUUUGAAGUAUGCCUAAAAGACUUGUAUAUGAGUAUUUUCUUGGUUUCGGUUUUCAACGUGAUUGCAAAAGAAAACAUUGCUAUACAAAAGUACAAGUCUUAUGACAUUAUAGUUCAAACAAUUGUAAACCAGUUGGCCAUCAACUUGAAUUCAACUGCAGUCGAGAUACACUAAACACGAUGCAUGUAUAACUUGGAGUCAAGUUCAAUUUCCAAGUCUGUAGACAGCCUCAUUUUAAACAAUGAUGAUCUCAAAAUAUAUGAAUGACUUUGCAGCUAUUUAGUUGCUGAAUGUGUGUGUUUAAAAAAAAAAAAAAGUCAAGUUUCUGGUUGAUGUUAAUGUGUGAUUUGUACCCAAUAAGAUGGCUUUUAUGCUUAUGUACUACUUUGAGUGUAUAUCAUUUUGAGUACCUAGAACACUAUUUUUGUACUAUCUUAACAUAUGAACUCCAUGAGUAGUCUUGAAUGAAUAAUUAUUAAAAACAGUGGGGGUAUGUAAUUACAUGAUAACAUUGCAUUCUUCAAUUGAGUGCAUGACUAUGACACGUUGAAGAACAACUGUGUAAUUUGAAAUACUAUGCAGAUAAAUAUCUAAAUAGUAUCUGCAGAAUUGAAUGAAUCAUUUGCUAAUGCUUUACCACUAUGUGUUUAUAAAAAAAAAAUGUCAAAUGUAUUCUAUAUGCAAAUAUACGGUGCUUUAUUAGUUAUCAAUAUAAAUUUCAUCUUUUAUUAGAUUGUUUUGUGGCAUAUACUCCCCGUGAUUUUGCACAAGGUAAUGUUGCCUAAAAUUGUAAUUGUUAUCUCUAUUUUUAGUCUUAAAUUAGUAAGUACUAUUUUACAAUUUCUUCUAGUUUGUUGAAAAAGUUUAAACUUGGGAGGUUGUUAAUUUUGGUGAUAGUUAAAAGCUACUGAACAGUACUCCAAGCACUUGAUAUGGAUUGGUUAUGAUAAAUAGUGGGGGUGUCUAAAUCCAAUGGCUAAUAUAGAACGUGACUUUUAAAUGCUAUAUGCAUUUAUUUUACCAUCUUGACACAGACUUUGAAAUUUGAUUGUGAGAUUAUCUUGAGAAUUAUAUUAUAAGUUUCUUAUUCCUUGGUUUGAGUGUGCAGAUUAGUGGUGACCAAUAAAUGAUGCGUAAUGCCAAGGUGUUAGAAACACGAUGGUAAUAGAAGUGGUGAAAAAAAAAUAAAGGUGAUAUCAUUUUAUUACUCAAUUUAUGAGUAUAACUUUUGGAUUUAUUUUGACUCUUAUUUUGAGCUGUGCAGACUAGCACUCACUAAAAAGUAUGAUCUGAUGUGAAAGUAUUCAAAAUAUUUUCUUGGUAUUUUUUUGCAAAAACAAAAUUAACCAUGAAGAUUUUGAGAAUGGCUUCUAGUGCACUACUAGAUUACUGCCCAUUGAGAUAAAAUUGAAAAAUUGAAUGUGAGCAAAUAUAUGCCUAUAUUAUUUGGCAAAUAUAAAUGGAUGAGAAAUAUUCUCACGAAAGAUUGGUUCAAUAUAUCAGAACCACUAGGAGAAAUUAUUUUAAAAUAAAUUCAGGGAUAUCAUAUCUUUGCUAUUUUAUUGUGUAAAAUCUCAAGCUUGAGUCAAAGAUAUGAUACAUAUCAAGGGGAAUGGGACUUGAAGCUAAAAUUUAAAAUUGGAACCAUCUAUGAGGAUACAACUACCUAAGGACUGGAGAUCCCAAGAACUAGGUCAGAGACAAACGAAUCAUAGAAUGGUUUGGGUGAAAAGCAUGCAUAUAUUAUAAAGUUGUUAAAUCCCUUCCCAUGGUGUAGAGCAUGCUCGUGAUUCUAUGACGAAGGAAAGGUUAAGAUUUGAUAUAAAUCUUUUAAUGAGUUCUAUAGCCCUUUAUGGGUGGAAUGCCUUAGUCAUAGGGGUAUUCUUGAUAGACUCACCUAUAUGAGUGUGGAAGUAAAGGCCGCUUCCUAUGAGAAUUUGGCUAAUUCUCUAAAGCACUCAUGAAUCUGGGAUAAAGCACAAGGCCGUAAUGUGCUAGCUUAAGAAGCUUGUUAAUUAAUAUCUUGAAUAUCAUGUGUGUGACAUAAUCUUACGUAUCUUGAAGUAGUCUUAGUUUCAAGGCUAUAGUCCACUUUGACUCUAAUAUGGAGAUUAUGGAAACACUAAAUGAAGGUUUCAAGGCAAUGCCACUUUCAUUAUGCAUGAUGUUCUCACUUUGUCCAAAUCUUUAUUCUUCUCAAAUUUUAUUAAAAUAAGUGGGGGAAUGUUGGUGUAUUUUAAUAAAAUCUUAAUUUUUUCCUUGACCAAAUCUUUACAAGGAGUUAUAAUAAUUUAUUUGGAAGUUAUUUGAAUUAUAAUUGUGGGAGUUUCAUUACAAGGAGUUAUAAUAAUUUAUUUGGGAGUUGGAUUUAUAAUCCAUUCAAAUGUGGAUUAAUUUUUUAGGUUACAAAUUCUACUAAUUGACUACAAUUUAAUAUGGAAAAACCGUUACACAUUUUCAACCCUUUUUCUU
This 51939-nucleotide long non-coding RNA is filed under the name Coffea arabica (coffee). RNAcentral describes it as "long non-coding RNA (CARA_LNC008065)". Lineage: Eukaryota; Viridiplantae; Streptophyta; Magnoliopsida; Gentianales; Rubiaceae. The record is from RNAcentral.